RNAcentral lists this long non-coding RNA (48168 nucleotides) under Phoenix dactylifera (date palm). RNAcentral's name for it is "long non-coding RNA (PDAC_LNC001112)". Lineage: Eukaryota; Viridiplantae; Streptophyta; Magnoliopsida; Arecales; Arecaceae. The record is from RNAcentral.
CUCUCUCUCUCUCUCUCUCUCUCUCUUACGAUUUUAGACGUGAUAUAUGAUCGGACCGAGUCCAAACCAAAACCUAUGAAUGCUUUGUCUUGUGUGGACGCAGGGGCUCAGGGACCCACACUCUAAAUAAAAUGGCUGAUUCAUGGUUCUUGCAAAACCAUCUCAUUGUUGUUUUCUUAGACCAUGGUAUGAAGUUGAAACUAGUGUUUCAGUCAAUAACUAAAUGCAAAAUUAGGGAACAAGAAUCAAGUUGUUUUUGGGUGUUGAUUCAAAAUUAGACUUUAUCUAGACACUCUCCAACUCAAAUCUGUAAUCAAGUAAGGCUGCAACACGUGCCAAAUGUCUUUUGAACCCAUUGCUGCAGCCCCAGGUUACACAGCUCUGUGUUUCAUCAGGUUCAAUGGUGGUGCUGGUGCAAAUGACUGAAACAAUGGUUUAUUACCUCUAUUAUUAAUGUCAAGAUGGUUUGGCCUUAACAAGUUCGGUCUUUUUCCGCCCAACUUCAGCUGCACUGAACAGUUGGAGAAGGGAACAAAAAUAAAAUUCCGCAUGACAUGCCAAAUCAGCUGAGUUCUUUUUAGUUGAUAAACCUAAAUCAGUUGACUGUCCAAUUGUUUUGCUCCAAAGACAUGGUAUCUCAAUUAUGAAACACGUCACAUGUAAAAUACAUUUGUUGAGCAAUAUGUGCUUCAAAUCAUAGUUGGAUGAAAGGAAGAAAAAAAAGUAUCAACAAUUUAGGUGGAUGUUUCAAAAGUGACAUCAGAAGUGUGGCAUGUAUAUUGUUUCUAGCUCCAACAUCAAGGUGGAUUACUCUGUAUCAAGCUCCAUCCAGAAUCAGAUGAAUUAGUUAUACUGGUUUCAUUUCCUGAUUGUCCACAAGCUGGAUGGUGUUGCUUAUGUCCACAAUAUACCAGGAAUUGUGAGAAAUUCUCUCUUGUAGUACCUUUUAUAUUCUCGAGCUUAAUAUCACUGUCUCUCAUGAAAUGCAUUAUUUGAAAAAUUUGUGUAAUCCUUGGAAGCAACCUCUGAUUACUUCAAUUGAAACACCAGGAGAUCAUUCUAAACUGGUAAAUCCAAUAGGAUGUCUCAAAUUCUGACUCCUCAAGUUUGGAUGGCAAACUUUUUGUUGCAUGAAGAUAUCUAUUUGCUUUUGAUAUCAAGCCGAACAAAAUUAGUAUUUCAUGUAAUCUGAUUAUCCUUUUCCUUUUUCUUUGUAUAUAUCUGCAGGAUUUUGUUGGGCAGUGUGACGAGCUAUGUGUUGUCAAAUGUAUCAUGCCCUGUGACCAUUGUCAAGGAUCCAGACUUCAAACCUUGACAGACUUCCUGGAAAGAUAAAAUCAAGUGCCAAAAUUUUCAAGGUGUGAAGAUUCCUUGUGCUGGGAGAGAGGAGUCUAGUAAUGGACUUGAAAUAAUUUGAAAGUAGUUAAUUAACUUGCUCUUGUUGAAGCAAGUUGCACCUUCUAUAUACAAUACGUUUUGAACUGUGUGCGAAUUGUCAGAAUAAAUUGAGUGAUGUGUAGAUGAUGUGCAUCUUUUAGUUGUUUAGCAUAUCUCAUAAAUCUCUCAUCUUUUCUUUUUAAAUUACUUUCAGUUUGAACUACAUAUCUGAUCUGGAAUAAUUUGUGGUGUUGUAUACACGCAACUUGGAAGAAAGAGCCACAUAUCACCAUUGUUUUUUAUUACUGUGACAAAAUGCUAUGUAGCUGGCGCACUCGAUAUUUUUCCUGUCUAUUGUUUAGCAAUACUUUUGCGAUCACGAGACAUGGAGUGGAUAACUAAUUUUGUAUUUUUUCUAGUUUCAAAUUAUAUUUAAAGUCAUUUCUGAGUGUGUUUUGUGGUUUCUAUUAGGUGACUCUUUGAUUCAUAAGUUUCCUGUAGUCGGCGUUGGAUGAUCAAAAUUUUCAGAAGCCAGUUGAGCACGUUAAGUCUAAGCAAUUAAAGAUAAGUAAUGGAGUCAUGCCUCCAACAGAUGUAUAUCUUGUCUUCUGGUUUGGGACAAUACCUAACAAAAAAAAUCAAAAGAUUUGCAACAUUUCUUUUGCGUUGCAAAUCACAAGUUUGUGCAUCUGGUCAAUUGCAAGGAGUUAUCGAGGUUGCCCAACAUAGAAAGAUCUUAGGGGGUGCUUGGUUUGGCUACUGAUCCGAAUGGAGAUUAGAAUAGGAAUUGGAAUGCUACAUGCUUUGAUGUCUUUGGUUUACGAUGAGAAUCAAGAUUGGAGUGGAAGUGAAAUACUAUGGGAGAGUAGAAAUUUAAUUUAGGAAGAUUGAGAUAUUCUCUUUUUUUUUAAAAUUGAAAUGAAAAUAGGAUUUUUCUAACUAAAUAGUUGAAAUGAGAGUUACUCACUUAUAUUUUCAUUUUGGAGUCUAGCUUCUUGCAGAUUCAAAUCCCUAUUAGAUUUUAUGGGCUCCCAAUUUCAUUUUUCCCAUGGCAAGGAGGCGAAUAGGCACCAACUUGUAGCAAAUGAAAAUUGGCACUCAAACUUAGUGUUGCAGAUGGAUGAGGCCAAGUUCCCAAACAAUAAAUCAAGUCUCAGUGAUGUUGCUACUUUCUUGGUGGUCAGUGUUUUUUGAGAGAAGUUUGGCGUCGAUUCGCUUGGUGGCUCCCCUAUCCUUCCCGGUGCGUGCAGAUUCCUCGUGUGAUUGCUUUUGGCUGCCGAUCCGUUUGGUUCUCAACGGUUGGUCGAUCUCGACCUGGGAAUGACGCUGUCCGAUGUCAUUCUCAGCUCGAGUCUUGGUUUAUCUUAAUUCGGGUACGUUCAUAUUUUUCAUGGGUCGGUACGAUGGAGAACCGGUGACCAAAUAACCCACGUCGAUAUAACGUUUAGCCUGGCAGGAGGGAGAUGGCUCGAUUUAUUUCAAUUUUUGAACCCCAGAGGUAGAAAAAAUAUUUUGUCCCUAUUCCAAUCCAAAGACUGAAUCGUCUUCCCUGCGCUCUUCUACGAUCUCAAUCUUCUCUGGCACCGACAAACAGGGCACUCGUGUCUCUAUGCAAUGUCCAUUCUUGCGCGCAUUCAGUAAUACGUCUCUUUCUUGAAUUGAAGUUUGUGCAACUAUUUCCAUAAUUUCUGGAUGGCUGAUAUUUCAUUCGUUAUUUUAGAUUCAUGUUCUCCCUUCUCUUUUUGAUUAGUUUUUUUAAGGUGAGGUGGGGAUUCUUACAAGAUAAAUAUGAUUUCAAUAUAUAGUGCUUUUAAAUAUCCUUACAUCAGUGGUAGGAUACUUGAUGACUUUGGAGAAGUGUCUCGGUGCACCGAACACUCAUUGCAUUUUUCUUUGGCGCACAGACGACGCACCAUUACUCCCACAGGUUUGUUGCCGUCACUUCACCAUCAUUACUGGCAUUCUAUAUUUCCUUCUCGUUGAGCAAACUGUUGGGAAUUCCUCCUCUCAUUUGAAAUUGUAUGAUUUGCACGAAUAUUAGGGCCUGAUGAAAAUUUUUUUGGAGUAGUGUUUGUGACUCAGACUAUAAUGAAAAAUGGUCCCUUUUCUCUAAGUAUCAAAUUUGCUCUAUGUAACUUUGCACCCACUGAAAUUUUGCUCAUCCAAGAAGGUAGUUUCAUCCUUGAUGAGCAGGUAUUAAUUACUGCCAUGAAUAGUAGAUUUCCUGCCGUCCUCCAUAAGGAUACCUUUUCACUAUUAUUAGUUUUUUAUGCUUACAUAAUGAAAGCUGCAACCAUCGAAAGAAGCACCACCAUGUGCUGCAGUCAAUGGGCGGUCCAAUCCAAUUCUCCCAACUUUGGGUUCGUGGGGUCCAUAACGUUUCUUUCUAUGUCAGCUUCCAUAUCAAGUAGAUCACUUGGACGAUGGUUUGGUUAUGUCCGGUGCCCCCACUUUGUCAUGCUGUGCCUCAUCAAACUUAUGGUCCUGAUGGAGGAUGAAAUGGCCUGGUUGGCACUUUUCAUGUUCUUCUAUUUCACCUAUCAAGGUCAUACCACUUGGUCCCCAAGGGGAUCAAAUCAUCCGGGAUUUGGCGAUGUAGAGAGAAGAAAUAGAAGUUUAUUGCUGCCACGCGAUCUACUAUUGGUUCUAAGUUUUAAACCUGGUUGUUUAUCCUACUCUAAUAUAAGUGCAGCUAGUAGAAUCAAGAGCAAUAAUCUGGCAUACUUAUGAAGAAGGAAUUUCUGGUGUGUUCAAAAAAUCUUUUCAGAAUGCUCAAUAGCAUAGGAAGCUGAUAGAUGAAGGAGUCUCUUCACUUAUGUACCAUAAAAAUGAAGGUUUAGGAGAGGAGAAGAUUUAACUAAUGCCUGUCACAGAGAAAUCGACCGUCACGUCAAUCUUCUUUAAAAUAAAGGUAGUCUCCACAUGAUGAUGAGGUUUUGCAAGUCAACCCAACUAGGAGUUUAGGAGGGGUUACCAUGGUCAGUGAGAUUUCUUAUUUUCUUAAUCUUAGUUUUCAAAUGACAAAGAUAAAGAAAGUCUGGCAAGCUUGUGACCACCCUAACGUUCAAAAGCAGCAUUUUGAAUGUCGAAAAAAAAAAAAAAGGUCCGUUCUUUCAGGCUAGGUAACGGCUAGAAGAAGUUGGUGGGCCUGGUGAGGAACAACCCUUGGUCCUUCAAAUUUUGUUCCAACCAUUCCAGCCUUUUGUACUGCUAACCACUAUCGCAGCAGCGACGUACUACUAACCGGUCUCAAGGACUCCACUCUACUGGUGCUAAUCAGUCGGAGGUUGCAACCACUGGCAUCAUUAAAUCUAUGCUUUCUUGAGGGAGAUUGUACAUAGGGAAGACUGCAAAGGCCUAUUCAAAGCGAAGAUAAUUUAUUUGCUGAUUUGUGACAGCUCAACUGAUUUCUCGAUUUCUCCCCAACCAUAAGGCCCUAAUUGCUCAUUGUUCCUGCCUUUUCCAACCAUUAGAGUUGAUUACAACUAAUAUAUGUUUUAAGAAAUAUCUUAGAGACCCAUAAAAUAACUCCUGGAGAAACAGACCAUUUGCAUGGCUCUCUUUUUGUUGAACAGGAAUUAGCGUUGUCCAUUUUGGAAGCCUAGGAGGCUGAAUUAUUGCUCUGUUUGAAAACCCAAAACCGCCAGAUAGAACCAGUUCAGCUCUCAAAAGGUGGGUGUUCUGAGAUAGUACGGACGUGUGGCUUUGAAGUUGGAGCCCGGCAUCCAUUCUAAAGAGACUUUCAUCUGAAGUUUAACUGGGAGAGCACACCCUUAAAAAAAAUAUGAUAGGAGAUAAAUGGAGGAAUGCUUUAGUGUUUUCCUUUUUCACAUAUUUUGGAAAUGAUUAUAUUUAUUAGUGAUACCAUAUGAAGAAUUAUUCCAAUAAAUGUACCUCUCAUAUUCCAAUAGUUGCAGAUUUUGAAGAUGCCCCAUCGAGCCUAGAAUCAAUCGAACGACUAAAAAUUUUGUCAAGUGGCAAAAUGUGCAUAGAUAAAUAACCUUAAGCAAAUCAAGCAACAUGUCUUUCCAUUUCCUCAUUGAAAUGCCAACAUGUGAUUAAACGCAAACGUAUUGUGUUUUGAAAUUUUAAAAACAAACAGUUGGAGAAUAAUGUCUGCAUUAAUGGUGCUAGUCAAAAGUAGCCUCAUAGUAGAUUUUAUAACAAGAUGAUGCAGUUUCUCUACGCAAUAUCUAUCCUUGUUGUAAUUGUUUACAUUAUUCCAUCAUGAGAACAUAUUGUUGAUAAUUAGAGAUCGUUGCUCGCACCAUUGCUAAGAUGUGGGGACGGCAUGAGGACAGGGACUGCUGCUCAUCAACGUAGCGUGGAUUUGGGUGCCAUGGAAAGGUGGUGGGGUCGCACCUUUGACGCUUUUCUCACAAGCCAACGGCUCUACCAUGCAUGAUCUCACUCUAACGGGUGGGUACUCUUCCUACCAUCCUUCUUCAAAACUUUACCAUCCCUAUUUUAAUUUUGAAACUGGGCUUCGUCUCUUUCCCUCCCCUUCCUGAAAAGCAGGGAUAAAAAGGAGGAAGCCGUUAAAUAGAGAAAGAAAGAGAGGAGAGAUGGGAAGAGGGGAUAAAAAAAUGGAAAGACGCAUUCCAUUGCCGUGAACUUCCCUUGAUAGCCUCACCAUUUAAUAGCCGUUAGAGUAGAAUUUCAAAAAAACAAAGGACUAAGGAGAGCUUCACCGCCACUCCAUUUCCCCUGAAGAUAGUUCAAGUGUUAGAGCGGGCGAGCGAGCGAGCGAGCAAGCAAGCGCCUGCAAUCAUGGCCAUCCUCAACCUCCCUUAGAAAAAUAUAUGAGGAAGCCCCCACAAGCCCUUCUCCCUGCCCCCUUGUUUUCUCCUUCGGAAAUGAUCGCCUUAAUCUAAUGGAGAGACCCCGCUUUCACCAACCAGAGGACCCCAAGAAGCACUACUGUCUUUCGUUAGCCACCUGCGGAGCCUCCAACCUCAUCCCUCUUUCCCUUUUUCGGCUUCUGGCUCUCUACUAGAUUGCUCCGAUUAAGGGACGAGUGCGGCACCGGGUAGCUUCUCUCUAUUUGAGGGAACAGGUGGUGCUCAGAAUGGAUGAUGGAAAGGAGAAGGGUGGUGUUGGCGAUCAUGGUCAUGGGUCGGAAGAUAUUGGGGGAGAGGGCGAGUCCUUUAGCGACUCGGCGGAAGAUGAGUGCCAUGGGAGCAGUUCGAGCUCUGAGACUUCGUCCAGUGAAGAGUCACGAGGCCUUAGCAGUUCCGAGGAAUCAUCCAAGAAGCAUUCGGCAUCGUUGGGUUGGCCAAUGCAGAACCGCAAAACCUCUGAAAUAAUAGGCAAUGUGGAGAAAAGUCGUGAGGAAAAUAGUGGAAUGGAUAAGCUGAAGCCCAACAUUUCAGGUAUUGAAUCUUCUUUCAUGCAUGUUUUCCUUUCCCCCUUCAUUAUCUCUUUGUAACAAAUAGUAAUACCGAUCAAAUAGAUGAAUGGCACUAACUUAGAUUUUUUUUUUUUUUUUUAGAUCUUUUUCUUUGCCCUCACAUGGCUUUGUCAUCAUUUUUUUUAAAAAAGAAAUUUUGUUUUAUGUUUGGUUUCGGAUCCUCAAUCAACAGUUAGUAAAUCUCGUUUAUGUAUUAUUGUUGUCAUUUAUGUAUGUUUUAUGUAUUAUUGGUGUCAAUAUGGACUGCGCUAUCAUGGUAAAUGUGCAUGUCCUCAACCGUACUGGUUUAGCUGAAUGAAGAGUUAUGUUUUGGGGUUCUCUUCUGUAUUCCAGUAGAUAUCGAGAUGAUGAAGGAGAGGUUUGCCAAGUUGUUGCUUGGAGAAGACAUGUCAGGCUCUGGGAAAGGGGUCUGCACCGCAUUGGCCAUUUCGAAUGCUAUAACUAAUCUCUGUGGUAAGUUUUGAUAGUUCCCUGGUUUUUUUGGUUGCAUUCGUUUAUAACUAAAAUUUUGUUUGCUGAAAUAAAUUCUAUGAGCCUCAACUAAAACGUUCCUGUACCUUCUGUCCUAUUACAGCCACUCUCUUUGGGCAGCUUUGGAGGUUGGAGCCUUUACCUCCCGAGAAGAAGUCAAUGUGGCGAAGAGAAAUGGAGUGGCUUCUCUGUGUUAGCGAUCACAUAGUCGAACUGGUACCCACUUGGCAAACAUUUCCUGACGGAAGCAAGCUGGAGGUGAUUACUGUUCCCGAAGCUCUGUAGGGAUUAAAAUUGCCUUUGCAUCCAUGCAUUUGGCUAUCUGUUGCAUCUGUUACUUCACCACGCAUGAGUCUGUUUCUUAGGUGGGUUGGGUUGACUCUCACUGGAAUGCUCGCUCACUGUUCUCAAUUAUUCAUCAUGUCAAUCAAAUCUAACUGUUACAAAAAAAUUUCAUCUGUGUGCGUAUGUGCGUACAUGUAUACAUAUGUUUAUAUCGAAGUCAAUGCCUGGUUGGUUCCUUGGAGGUGUUCUCAGUUGUUUUGUUAUAACUCACUAGUCUUGAAUAGAUGCAUAAACGGUGCAUGGUUCUUGAUUUUUAUUUCAGGUCAUGACUUGCAGACAACGAUCUGACCUAUAUGCCAAUCUUCCAGCACUGCGCAAACUAGACAAUAUGCUUCUUGUGAGACUCGAUGCUGCUUCCUGAUUCUUAAUCUAAACUCGAGUGAGGGUCAUGAUUCUUAUCGAGAAUUUACGCUUCGCAGGAAAUAUUGGACAGCUUUAGUGAUACAGAGUUUUGGUAUGCCGAUCAAGGAGUGCUUGCAAACGAGUCUGAUGGGUCGGCCUCUUUCCGUGGAACUCUUCGUCGUCAAGAAGAGAAGUGGUGGCUGCCUGUGCCUCGUUUACCUCCUGGCGGUCUCCAUGAGAAGACGAGAAAGCAAUUGCAGCACAAACGUGAGUGCGCAAACCAAAUCUUGAAGGCUGCAAUGGCUAUCAACAGCAAUGCUUUGGUUGAAAUGGAGGUUCCUGAGUCGUAUCUCGAGUCCCUUCCAAAGGUAUAUGCUGCUUAUCUCUCGUACUUCUAAAGCAAGGCCUACUCUCAAUAAAUAAUGAUCAGAAUUGAGCUCCAUUGCCGCCGUCGAUUUACAGCAACAGCGAAUGGAUAUAUCUUUUCUACUUGUAUGAUCAUAGUAUUGUGGCAUAACGUCUCCCUUCAUUUUGAAUAUUUGUAUAGCUUUCUACAUGUCAUGAACCCUGAUGUUUGUUAUUCGUUUGUUCUUGGUCCGCAGAAUGGAAGAGCAUGCCUAGGCGAUGUGAUAUAUCGCUAUAUCACUUCGGAUCAAUUUUCCCCUGAAUGCCUUCUCGAUUGCCUUGAUUUAUCCUCCGAGCACCAAGCUCUAGAGAUUGCCAAUCACGUCGAGGCAUCAAUUUAUGUAUGGCGUCGGAGAACGUUUGCCAAAUCUACGAAUAAUACAAAUCGAACCAACACUAGAUCAUCAUGGGGUAUGGUCAAGGAUAUCAUUACGGAUGCUGAGAAAAGAGAGUUGCUCGCUGAUAGAGCCAAGUGCCUCUUGCUAUGUUUGAAGCAGAGGUUCCCUGGUCUGACACAAACAACCUUGGAUAUGAGCAAAAUCCAAUUCAACAAGGUUUGUCUUCCUCCCUUGCUUUGAACGCGGUUUAUGCUUGCAUGAAGACCUUUCGGAUUGUGAAUGGCUUUUGCGAUGAUCCAACUUUCAGGAUUUUGGAAAAUCCAUUCUGGAAAGCUAUUCCAGAGUCUUGGAGAGCCUCGCGUACAACAUUGUUGCUCGCAUUGAUGACCUGCUUUGUGCUGAUGACUUGACCAAACAUUCGGACCAGUAUUCGUCAUCGAUUCACGCAGUUGGUGUCGCUUCUCACAAGAAAGUCCCAGUUCCAUGCUUGGUGCCCGUCUCAGGCACUCCAUAUGCGACUGCUUAUGCCACACCAAGCUUCUUGCCCACACCUUCAAUGAGUCCAGUGCUGGGAGAGAGGUCUCCAUUGAUCAGCAGAAAGUCUCAUACUCGUGGAUAUGGCGUGAAGAAAGUUCUGACAAAUUAUCUCGGAGUUGAGGUGAAGGGAAAAGAGACUAGCAGCAGAGCUGAGGUAUCAGCACCGAUUUCAGGCGUCAGUCUAGAAGCCUGAGCGAGCUUCUCUUUCACAAAACAAUAGGGACUCGGAAAGCCGGCAGGACCUCGCUAUAUUAAUUAAUUAGGUCGUUGACUUGCCAUAAGAUUCGAGGUGAUCUUGUGAAAAAGAAGAUUAUGAUGAUGGUUCUCACGAGGGUUGCAAAAACAAAUGCUAUCCUGACAAUUUCGUAUUCCACUAAGCUAGCUCAGCAUCUGGUGUGCUGUUCUUGUAGUGAUUGAUGAGCAGUGUUAUUAUUUACACAUCACAAGGUUUUUGUAACAGUUUCCAAUAGUAUUUGCUUGAUUUUUUUUUUAUUAAUAGGAAUUGUAUCUUUUGCAGCUGUACGUGUGUCGCAUUUUAUAUAAAAUUUACGUUACGUUGGAAAUUGUCAGUGUCUUGGAUUUGUUUUACAGUGCUGGUGGUUCAAUUAUCUGAAGCUUUUUUUGGGGGCAUUCAGAUGCGAGAUAGCUUGAUGAUGAAAUUAAUAGACUUUUAUCUUAACGAGCCUACUUUCACUCUUUACUACCUUAAAGUUUCUUGCAUAAUACCUUAAGUCUAUACUUUGUUUUUUUACUGGCAACUGGUUCACUUAAAAAGAAGUCCAUAUAGAGGAUUUAUGGACAUGGAAAAGGAGUUCAAGAAGCAGAUAUAUAAUAUAUAUAUUUGCUGCCACACAGAUGGCAUGUCUACAAGAAGCAGAAGCUUAAAGAAGCUGAAAAGUGGAGGACAACAAUAAUUACAACAAUGGGAAUGGAGUAGGUGACCUCGCUCGAACCAUUCUGUUGAGAGAUAGUGCUGCAACAAAGGAAAAGGAGUUCAAGAAGCAGAUAUAUUAUAUAUAUAUUUGCUGCCACCCAGAUGGCAUGUCUACAAGAAGCAGAAGCUUAAAGGAGCUGAAAAGUGGAGGAUAACAAUAAUUACAGCAAUGGGAAUGGGGUACGUGACCCCGUAGUGCCGAGUCCAUUAAGGCUGUAUGGCUUAUGAGGUGGCAUGGCAGUCAUCUAUCACGACGAUUGAUGACUCCGGGAGUUCAUCAGUAUAUAUAUACCCAAGCAAACAGGCACGGUUUGUGCAAAGUAUUAGUGAGAGAUGGAGGCCUCAAGGAAGUAUCUCUGCCUUCUUGGAUUGUUUCUGCUUGCAGGGGCGGUAGGAUUGGAGGGUGUUGAUGGAGCUGGGGAAUGUGGGAGGGUUCCUGCGGAUAAGAUGGCUCUGAGGAUGGCUCCCUGUGCGUCGGCAUCGCAUGAUGCUCGCGCCCCGGUUUCAGCUCAAUGCUGCUUGGUGGUGCAGAAGCUGGGCAAGAACCCAAGAUGCCUCUGUGCUGUGAUGCUCUCAAACACUGCAAAGAGAGCUGGAGUCAAGCCGGCGAUAGCAAUGACGAUCCCCAAACGGUGCAGACUUGCACACCGCCCUGUGGGUUACAAAUGUGGAGGUAGGUUGAGUGUUCUCAUGAUGCUCCUUCUAUACUUUCUUUUUUCUUCUUUCCAUCAAAUUCUUUGUGGUUUUCCUGAAAGAAACCAACCUUUGCUUGCAGGUUAUACCUUGCCUUAAGCAUCGAGAAGUUGAGGAAAAACGGAUCACUGUGGAAGAAUAGUGGAAGUAUUUCUAGCUGCCAGUUUGUUGGAUAUGAUGUUUUGAGCUCAUCUUGGACUAUAUGAUGGUGGACUAGUUGUAAUAUGCUGCUGGUAGUGUGUGAACCAUGAAGCAUGUAUAUCCUAAUAAAUCUAAUAAAUAAAUAAGUUAUUGAUGUGUUGAAUGAAGCUGCAAAUUUUUAUGCAUGAUUUUGGCUGCACUUUUGGUGCAGUUUAGUAUGUCAAAUGCAGCCCGAUCACUUUCUGCCGGAGGAACGAAAAGGAAAGUAAUGCACUUUAACAAUUUGUUCCCUGAUACAAGUCCAACUCACAUCAAACUGAAACUCAAACCAUCAAAUAUUGCGAGCAGUCUGUCGAACAUUUCAAAGAGAGUAGGUCAUGAGGGAUAUACUUACCUGGAACCACAUUUCCUUUCACAGAAAAUGAAGACAAAUUUCCGAUUAAUGUUACUUUAUGUGCACACUUGUAAAUCGUUCCUGGUUUUGACCGCUUCGAGCCACCCAACAUUGCUAGGGUUCUCUUCACUUAGUUUCACCGAACGUACCACUAAUUUUCCCUCGAGUUUUGGUUUUGAUUUUUCUUUCCCCCAUAAAUGUAACCUUCGUUUGGAAAAAAAAAAUGGAACUAUGUGAAGGCUCUCUUGUUCCUUCCACAUUUGUCUUCUGAUUCAGGCUUGCAUGAGGGAGUAAUUGUUGGGUAGAUUAGCCACCACCGUCUCAUGGCCUUAAUUUAAUCUCAAGUUAUAUAAUAGAUUGCCUUCAGUGAAGUGGUCGGACAUCACUUUGGAACAUUUAGUAGGCAUUUGGCGCUAUGCAUAUGGCUUUUAAAAUUAAACGAAGAUUACGGGCAUCACCAUCCCUGUUUUUCUGAAGCAGGAUAUUAAGAAGACUAAGAUGGUGUCAUCUUCUUGCAUUACAAAAGUAACUUCAUCCCUUGCCGGCUACAGGACUGCGGCUGCGGCAUGUGGUUUUACAUAUCUAAAGGGACAAUUCAGGUUCGGGUCAAAACGAAUCAGGUCAAGAUUGGAUUGACCUAAUUCCGAUCCGAAAAAUAAAACAGGUUCAAAUUUAGGAUCCAGCUCAGCCCCGUGGGUCCUAAAAUUCGGAUCGGAUCAGAUCUAUAUGGGUCGGGUCGGGUCAUGGGUCAACCCGACCCAUUUGCAGUUACCAAGGAACCAAAUACUAUUAUUAGUUCUCUUUUCAAUUUGGAGGUGUGAUACAAUUUUCUGUAUUUUUAUUUAAUUACCUGGUGUAUGUUUGUUCAUGGUUUGGAAGCAUUGGAAGCACCAAUGAGGUCAAUGGGCAGUGGGGACAACUCCGCUCAAAACAAGAAAAAGAAAGGAAAAAAAAAUGUAAAACACGAUCUUGACCGUAAAACCUCGAAGGAAAUUUAACAAAGAGGUUGCUUAUGAUGGUUUCGAACCUAAAUCUGCCUAAAAGCCAGCACUAUGCACAUGCGGAUGAUUCCACAAGUCAAAUAGCAUACCCCGUAUUUAGUCUUGGGUCUUGUAACUAAGAUCGACUCCUUUUUCUUUCAUUUGAGAUCUCAUUCAUCUCCAAGUUUGUUUCCUCAUUCGGUCCCUCCCCUCCCCUCCCCUUCCCUUCCCUUUGUAGCUAGCGCUCAACCAUGGCAAAGGAUCAUCCCACCUUCUCCUCCAAUUUCUACCAGCUCUGCUGCUUCCUCUUCGUCUUUUCCGCACUAACGCCCAUGUCUUUCGUAUAUUGGUCUCGGUGCUUUGCUCCCUGUAAAACUGAAUCUGCCAUCGCGCUACCAAAGCAGAACCAAACUUUUGAUCUCCUUGCCUACCCUUCUGCAUGGAACCACCUCUCCUUCUCUCCCGGUCCGCCACCCAGGCUCCUCAAGAUAGCUCUCUUCGUGAAGCGAUGGCCGCGUCGGAGUCUUGCCGGAGGCCUGGAACGACACGCUCUCACCCUCCAUCUCGCCCUCGCCCGAAGAGGCCAUGAGAUCCAUGUCUUCACAACCUCAUCAAGCUCCGCCUUUCCAGACUACCCCGAUGCCAAGAUAAAAUUCCACGCGACCCCGCCAAGUCCCGCCGGUUACCUCAACCAGGCUCUGGCAUGGGAGCGAUUCCGCGUCCAGAAUACCACGGGGAAACCCUUCGACAUGAUCCAUACCGAAAGCGUCGGCCUCUUGCACGGCCGUGCCCGUAAUCUCAGCCAUCUUGCUGUUUCCUGGCAUGGUAUAGCCUACGAAACCAUACAUUCCGACAUCGUCCAAGAUCUCCUCCGUGGUCCGCAAGAGCCUCGUCCCUCCGUAUUUACAGAAAGAGUCGCCAAGGUGGUUGAUGAAGUCAAGUUCUUCCGCGACUAUGCCCACCAUGUAGCUACGAGCGAUCAUGUCGGAGAUGUCCUCAAGAGAAUAUAUAUGAUUCCAGAAGAACGAGUUCACAUAAUUGUAAAUGGUGUCGAUGAAGAUACCUACAAACCGGAUGCAGCAAGCGGUAGGGAGUUCCGGAGGAAGGUCGGGGUCCCCGACAGCGCGACUCUAGUAGUAGGACUGGCGGGGAGGUUGGUGAAGGAUAAAGGCCAUCCAUUGAUGUUUGAAGCACUGAAGCAGGUCUUCAUGGAGAAUGCGAGCUUCCAAAGAAACGUCUACGUCCUGGUUGCUGGAGACGGACCAUGGGGUAAUAGAUACAGGGAGCUUGGACCAAAUUUACUUGUUCUGGGUCCUUUGGAGCAGAAACAAUUGGCCAGCUUCUACAACUCGCUCGAUGUCUUCAUUAAUCCGACGCUCAGAGCGCAGGGGCUGGACCAUACCUUUAUCGAAGCGAUGCUUUCAGGUGUAUCCGUGAUGGGCACACGGUUUGCCAGCAUCACAGGCUCUCUGAUCGUGGGGCCAGAGAUCGGCUACACGUUUUUGCCGACGGUCGAUUCACUCAAGAAGUCCUUGAACAGAAUUCUGGGAGAUGGAAGAGGGGUGCUCGCGAAGAAAGGUGAGGUUGCGAGAAACAGAGCACUGCAGCUAUUUACUGCGGCAAAGAUGGCGGCAGCUUAUGAGAGGCUCUUCCUGUGCAUCUCUAAAGGCGCUGAAGUAAAAGAUAAUAAUGAUUACUGCAAAUACCCACUUCCACGGGACCGAUGGAGGUGAUAUUGCUCAAUCCAUUUGGAUGGGCGGUAGUUAGUGCUACAAUAAACAAACUGUAGUUGAUAUGGUGCUGCCUCCAUUAAGGUUAUAUGCGCUGUGAGAUGGCAGUCAUCUAGUGUUUUGGAUAAUGUCUUCUAGGAGCUCAUCUAGUUAUAAAUACCCCAUUGUCGAUCAUGUUUUUGUGCAUUGAAGAGCGAGAGAUGGAAGUUGCAAUGAAGUACCUCUGCAUUCUUGGAUUGCUUGUGGUUGCCAGUAUCGCUGGGUUGGAGAGGGCCAAUGGAGCUGGGGAAUGUGGGAAGGUUCCUGUGAACAGAAUGGCCUUUCGGAUGGCUCCGUGUGCAUCAGCAUCACAAGAUGCCGAGGCCCAGGUUUCGAGUACGUGCUGUGCAGAGGUGCAGAAGCUAGGCCAGAACCCAAGUUGCCUCUGUGCUGUUAUGCUGUCGGAUACUGCAAAGAGUGCCGGAGUCAAGCCUGAAGUAGCAAUCACAAUUCCCAAGCGGUGCAACCUGGCAGAUCGCCCUGUGGGAUACAAAUGUGGUGGUGAGUUUUGAGUACUGUAAUGUUUUAUUUUCUCUGCUUUUCUCCCAUCAGAUUCGUUUCACGUUCUCCUCAAAACGAUCUGUCUUACGUUUGCCUGCAGCGUAUACCGUGCCUUGAAGAACAGAGGGUUGAAGGAAGACUGGCGACCGCUACUAGUAGCUUCUGGAGUAAUGCCUAUGAUGCUGUAUCUCCUGUUGGCAUAAAUAUGAUGUUGAAAAUGCCAUAUGGUGUCAGACUUGGUGUAUGGACAUAGUAAAUAAAUGGUUGCUUGCUGUGUUGAGACUCGAGAGUAGUCUUGGCUCUUGUUCUGGUGAUGAAGUUGUUCAAUUUUAUCAUCGUGUUAUGAAAUAAAUGCAUCUAAGUUCUGUUUCAAGUGAUGAGUUUGGUGAUCACCUACCUGAUACGUAGUAGAUGAUUCGCAAGAAUUUAUUACGAUCAAUCCAAAUAUACUCUCACAUGUGUUCUAAACUUCCACAGGUCAAUGAUUCCUCGUGCUUUAUAAACCACAGCUUUGUUUAUAUUUUUCACUGCCUUCGGCUGAGUUUAAACAAUUUUAGUGCGUCGUAUUCUGCUUUAGAAACAUCUAAAUCUGAAGGCGUUCUAAAUCGACGAGGAGCGUCAAACUUAGCAGCUAUCUUGGGUUUCAAAUAAUAUGUUUGUGAUGCCUGUGGAUACAAAAAACAUCAAUUUUACAUCCUCCUCACCCUCUCAGGAUUGCUAUUUUUUUUUAGGUAAUGUCCUCAAGGUGGAAUCGUCCAGGAUAACUUCCCAGUAGAGUCUAAAAGUUGAAAGGGGAUCCUAGCAGCACAGUACAUUAAACAUGUUAAGACCACACAAAAGUAUAGAAAUAGGUCCACGGCACCACUCUAAUGCUAUUUCAUUGGGGAAAUCAAUGUCUGCCCCACGGAUUGAUUGCCAUUUUAUGUUUAAUCCUUGAAAGAAAAUUUUUAUGGCUGAUCCCUUGACUUCGAUGGCAAUGUUGUGUUUCAUCAUCCCUUGCUGGUAUGUUUGAACAAAACAAGCCUUUGUACAGAAACAAGAAAACUUCUAUGUACAAGUAUGAAACAUAAAAUACUGCAUAAAUAAGUAAAUUAAGCAGGCAGCCAUGAAAAAAAAAGACGUUUACGUAUCCCCUCCGUCCCCAAACUGCAUCUUCCUCUUCUCCUCUGAUUUUUUUUUUUCAAUAAAUUUCGUAGCCAUAAAAUGCAGCAGGCCGAGCUCAAGGUAGAAUCCACGAGAGACAUGUUUGACGUCCAUCCCACAAAGCAAGGACUUGCUACAGCUCUAGAUUGUCCUGCAAGGCUUCAUAUAUAGAUUAAAGAACAAAGGAUGCUUGCUGUAAUCUGAUGAUCCGGCAUGCUGAGGGUAAACAGGCACACAUAUUUCAUCUUCUUAAUUAAAUCAACAAAAACCUGACAUAAUCAUUAUAAGCAACGGAUUCAUAGACACAUUGAAUUAGACUAAUUUUCUUUGUAUAGGCCAUACAACACAAACUUAUAGAAUCUACUUAAUAUUAUAUAAUUAUAUAUUAAAAGCAUACAUAAUUAAGUGGCCAUUCAUCCUCGUUACAAUUGAAGCUGGAGGGAUGAAGGCCUAGUAUAGUUUACUGACAAGACAAAGUCCAAAACAAGAAAACCUAUCCAGGUUUCAGGUCUGCUGCUUCAUUAAGUAUGAACAGUCUUUGCAACUUUCCACCCUAAGAUAUAAACAGUGAAAAAAAAAACUGAUUGUUUGGUUCGUCAAAGCUGAUGCUUCUAGUAACAAAACCAAAUACAAGUUUCACUACUAGUUGGACGACAUAGCAGCCAUCUUUAACAGCUUCCUGAAAUACCUGUUAGCAAGGUAUGUGAUCUCUGAAAAUUAGAAAAGCUUACCAAAAAAAAAAGUUGGAAAAAAAAAGGAAAUGCACAGGAAAUGCAGUUGUCUAGGAAAAGAAAAAAAAACAGAAGAAAAAGAAGGCUACACGUAUUCAAGAAUUGGUUACAAUAAAUACAUGUAACUUACAGACACUCCACUAACUUAUACACCAGGGACACCACCAAGGACCUUUUUGUGCAAAAUUUAUAAUUUCACAUAAAUGUUGAUUAUAGGAGCUCAAUUAUCUAUUUUUCAGAUACUACUGUCGAAUUUAUGGAGCAAUAUGAUGGCCGAAAGAGAUUCUGUUCACUGUCUAGUGUAAAGUCCGCGUUCUGUACAUGAAUUGUAUGCCUAAAUGAUGGCUAAUUAUAUGCAACUUUUAAGGGGACGACAUCAUGAGAAAUUUCAUCUCCUAAAAAUCUUCAACAUAUGCCUUUUCUCUUGCUUUUAUGCUCGAAUCUACGCCUCUCAUGUUUGACGCUAACCACUAAAGCAUCUCCUCACUUAGCUUUAUUACCCCAUAGUAUGAUCGUGUUAGGCUGUUUGAUAAAUAGAGGUGCGCUGGCCGAACUUGCACUGUUGCGCACGACAACCUCCUUUCACAGGACCAUCUUUAUCACCUAUACCAUGUUAAACAUGACAAGAUAUUGAACUAAAAACAAGUGCUGUUCAUGAGAGAAUGAAAUUCUUUGGCGCGUUCGAAGCCACAUAAACUAUUAGAACAAGUUUGGGAUGUGGUAUGUUCAAUAGCAAUGAAAGCGCUCCAUAUUUUUUUCCCCGAGAAAAUAAAUACACCGUAUUGUGGGAUUUUACACUGUUUUGGGGGGAAAUGGUCAUCCAGCAGUUACAGUUAACAGCAAAUAUUUCUUUCUUAAGUUCAAGAAGUGAAAAUUGAUUAUCAACCACCUAGUACCAAACUAUAGAACAUAAUCUGGAGGAUUCAAUAGAAUAAUAGGGAUGACCAGCAAGAGUCAGAGAGCUGAGACCCAACCUGCUCAUACUAGUUAAAGCUUUAGCAUUGCAAGCAUAAGCAUGGAGUGAAUCUAUAAUGUGCUUACUAGCAGAUCGAUGUUGAUAAGAGUUACGGAUGUAUUAUUGGUCAUGUAUAAAUAAUCAAUCACUUGAAUAUUCACAUAGAGAGCAAGCAAGCACAAGAGAGAGAGGUAAUAUGGCUGCUGAAGCACUAGUUAUGGUAAUGAACAAAAAAAGAAGAAGAGAAGAAAAUGCCAUCCUGCUCCAACAAUACUGCCCAAAACAACAACAAUAGCAUAGCAACGAGUUCAUCAAAAGGAAAAUGCACUAAAAUGAACCUAUAAAGUAGUAAGAUAUCUGCAAUUUAAGUUAAUAGGUCUACAAUGACUAUUCUUAUUCUAAAUCUACAAAAUCUACAAAUAGUUGUUUGAAUGUGUCGCUUGAAUUAUUCAGAAUAUUUUCUUAUAAAAGACUUGCAAACCACACAUUAACAGCUAAUUUGUUAUUGCUUGAUACUUGAGGGGCAUGGGAAUCAAGUCGUGCUUGCCAGAAAACUAGCAAGUAUAGGUUACAAUUGAUUAUCUUAGAAUAUCUGAAUAUAGCAUUAACAAGGAAUGUAUGAAGGUAGAUGUUAUAGCCAUAUGCUCCAUCAAUCAUAAUCACCCCUUUAAAAGGUGGAGAUUUCCUGUUUCUAUUACCGUCCGCAAUUGGAGAAGAGACCAAGAGAAUUUUGAUGGAGAGAAGAGACAACAAUACUAGGUACUGGAGUUUAACAUGGACAGGAUCCAGUUGUGAUGGAUUCCAUAUAGAAGGAGGAGGCUUGUUGAUGAAUUGACGCUAAUCUUUAUGGUUCAAGAGAAAAUUGAAAGUGUUGAGAUGAGAAUCGAAGAAUUAGGGUGAGAUACAAGAUAAUGUGCAUUGAAAAUUCUGAACGAUUGUGUUAAGAAAAACAUGAAACAGAAGUAAUCUAGACAGAAAAAAGAAGUAAUCUAGAAGUAACAAAUCAUCUGAAACUGUAAAUUUAUAGAAAAUUACUAGUAGAAAGUUUAAUAGAAGUGAUGUAUUGAAAUAGACGAGUUGAGGUAACUGUCAUGAGAUGGCAACAUAGGGAAUACCAAGAGACCAGAAAUCACUAUUAAAUUGUUUAAGGAGGAGAUGAUAUUUGGGAUUAUAGAAAGAUCACAAAUUACAACCUAAGCGCAGUAAAUCAAAAUGGAAAUAGUAAAUAUAAAUGGCACAGCUAGGAAUCAUAUAUCUCUGUAUCAACAAUGUAGGAAAUCCAGUAAUAAUACAACCAUGAUGAAAAAGCUGACAAGCUCCAGAAUAUGGUGAAAUUUUCAAAAAGCUAGUUGUCAAUGGCUUCCUGUUAAAUGAGCCAAACAUGAUUUCAGAUGAAACAGAAGCAAAAGAAAAGUCGAAUUAGAACUGCUAAUCACCACCUCAAUCAUCUUUCACUGUGUCUCUCUUCAUAUAGCAUGCUAUGCCUGAUAUCAAGCUUGAAUUUUCAGUCAUAAAAUCACCAUCUUAGAACAAAUGAAACCCAAUUUGUAUUCUUCAAACUAUGGUAUUUAGGAAAAAGUAAGGGUUACAGCUCAUGGAUGAAAGUAGUUAGAAAUUAGAAUGUGUUGAAAGAUUACUGUAUCAAUGUCUAUACCUGUAGUAUAAGGAGAAAAAUCAAAUAUCUUCAUAACAGAAAAAAAGGCACAGCAGAUUAGUAAAUUUUUCAUGCAAAUACAAAUUAACAACACAUGAAGAAUUUUUAACGUCAGGAGACCAAAUCUAAUCAAGGUAAUGAGUCAUAAAUCAAAUCAUUUCCAUUUGGGUUGCUAUGAGCAUGCAGUAUCACACAACAAAUAAGAAUUACGGCAGUCUUGCAAUUGAAAAAAUUUAAGGAAGUAUCUUCAUCGAUAAAGCCUAAAGUUAUACAGAUCUGAAUGAUAUUAAUGAUGAUAAAAUCGCUGUUAGCAGAUUUAUGUCAAGAAAAACAAAAAUAUAUUAAAUGCUAAUUUUGCAAAAUUUAUCGAUUGUGAGGUUGCAUCAACAAACAAAGUAUAGAACACAAACUAAAGCAGUUAAAUCUGUCAACCAACCUUUGAGAAACAUACAAGCAAAAAAUGUUUGCAAUACAGCAAUGAUAACAUGUAAUAUCUUAUCAAAACCCUUUGGCCAACAAAUUAUUCAAGCUGGCAUGAUGUGUACAUGGCCAUAUUUAUAUAAUUACUUCAGAAGAAAAUAAGGAUGACAAGCUUUUAGAACUACAAUAAUAAUUGAAAGUGAUAUAUGCAUGAAAUUAAUACUGAACUCAGCUUCAAAGUACCCUCUUCCUACCUAAAUGGAGAGCAUGCUGGUCUAGAUAAUAUCCUCAAUAGUAAAGUGAACCUGGCAAAGUAAGAAAAAAAUGGAUAAGUUAGAGAACUGUUUGUCUCCUCAAUACAUGCUAUUUACCCAAAAUUUUUAGACUGGUAUUGUACCUUGCCACCAAUCACCUCUAGUAGCAACAUUUGAAUCACCCAAAUCAUCUUCACCAUUGUUUUUAUACUGCACGAGUUUAGAACACAAAGAAAUACAAAAUGAUGCAUGUUAUAGAAUUGGAUUUCAUAUUCCCAAAGUACCAAAAAAAUAUAAAAUUCAAUCACACAAUCAAGCAUAAAUACUUUUAAUUACAUCUCGUAAUUUGUUACCUUAUAAAUGUUAGUUUUCACUUACAUUAUUAUAAGCUCCAGAACUCUGCAUGGAUGGAGAGCUGCUAUAAAAUUCUCUGCCACCAUAAUGAAUAGAAGAGCCGAAAUAGGACGAUUCAGUUGAUUCAAUAGGAUAGGCUGAUUUCCCAUCUUUGUUGCUUGUGUUGUGGCUUUUGCUUGGGCGGCCUUGACAUUUAUCAUCUGCAGGUGUAACUUUAUAGCAGAGUUUGUCAUUAACAAUAGUCUAGAAAUAAUAUGUAAUACUGGAUCUAACAGAACCUAUAGUUGCAAUCAAAUCCACAAGAAACAGACCGACAUGUAUUGGUUAAGUAGAAUCGCAGAUGCUUUAUUAGUUAGUUCAGCAUUAUAUCAUUCUAUCACUUCUCCCAACAUCGAGCUUCAAGAAUAUAUUGAAGCACAAGAAAUGGAUAUGCCAUGGCCUAACAAAAAGAGAUUUUUGGUCCUUUACUCCACAAGCCCUAAUCUUGUGUUAUCAGAAUUCCACUUCACAAAUAAAUGAAUUCAGGCAUGCAUUACAAUCUUCAAGUAUGACUUUGGAACCCAUCAACAAGUGGUGGCCUCUCAUAGGUUAUUGGUAUUCAAGCAUCGAGGAAUGACAAUCUUUGAAGCAGGUGUCUUCUACAUGACAUAUAAGACAUGAAACAGAAAGAAACAAAGAGCGUUGAAUUUGAACAGUGACGUCAAGAAGAGAAUAUUCAAGAACCUGCUCUUGAGCUCUGAGCAUUCCCUAUCCGACCCUCAGUUCUUUGCUUGUCCAACGUCCAGUACAAGUCGGAAUGAGCCGAAUCCUUUCCCACGACCUAACAUCAUAAAACAGAGAACGAUCAGAGCCUGAAGCAUGAAGCCACCGUUACAAAGCCCCAAAAACACGAGCAGCAGCCUAUCGUACACUACCAAUCAAAGAUAGAAUACAUGCAAGAUCUAUAUGUGAGGCAUAGAAAGUGUCAGCUCGAAUUCAAUCCUAACUACAAAGUACAGAACCAUAUCAUUCCCAUGAAGAAUCACAAAACCCAACAAGCAGAUCCAACCUAACAAUCCGCAACUUUCAAAUGACAAAAUCAAAAAAUCCAUCAAGUAUAAACAGCAAACAACAUAAAUUUAUAAAACCCCAAACCGAAAAGAAAAAUGCACAACUAAGCCAUGCACACGACACGAAUAAGCCCCAAAACCUCGCAAACCUAAAAGCCGCAUCCCAGUAAUAACUUGAGUGGAAAUUCCGACAACACCAAUGAGGUAGAAGUCGUGCAACAAGAACAUAAAACCAAAACCUCGGGACGGAUCACGAUAACUUCUCUCGUUUGUUUCGAUCAGAAUCGAUCACGAUCAACACUAACAAAGCAGCAGAAGAAGUUACCGAUGAGGCAGGAGGGAAGACGCUGCUGAAGUAGCCAGAGGAUGCGGAUGAGGAGGAAGCAGAGGAAGCCGCGGCCUCCUUCCGGCCGAAAAGAUCAUCGGCAAUUCUCGAAGAAGAAGAAGAAGACGAAGCGGUGGGUUUCUUGCCCUCCAUCCUUUGCUUUCCUCUUGGUAUCCCAAGAAACAAAACUACCUCAACCCAGGGUAUUUCUCUAUCACCAAACCCAGAACCCAGCACUAAUUGCGACGCAGUGAGCGCCUGAAACCCGCGAAGGGAGAGGAUAAGAAGGAAAUAAGGGACCGGCGACCCUUCUCUUUGUUUCGUGUCGGCGCCUCCACGGCCCUUUUAAGAUCCCUCCUUUCCCAUACUGUUGCUUUUUCGUCUACUUUUUUACUCCUAUUUUCGUCCAAGAUUCAUCCCCAAAUCUCACUCCCAUAUUCGUCCGAUUUCUCGCUUUUCAUUUUUUUUCUAUAUCUUAUUGUGAUUUGUUAAUAUUUUUAAGAUACGUAACGUGGGUAGAUCUUUUCAUUUUUUUUUCUAGCUUGGUCGGUCCGAGGCCAACCCCAACCUCUUCAUCUCCAAGCCCACCACCGCCCAUGCUGAUGUCCAUCUCCGGGUCGUCUCGUCUCGUUUACGCAGUAGUCGAGUUUUAAUUACUCGCACGUUUGAUUUGAUAUGCAGUGGAUACCGGCCAGUCAAAAUGUAGAAAUUCGGUCGACGUAUCCAACUGGGAGUUUCUCGACUUCUGUAUCUACUUUAUCUACUUUUCCAAGGUAGUUCUCAGCAGGAACCGUUCUCCCCCGCAGAACUUAUCGGAUUACGGCUUGUUCAAACUUUGGUUAAUAUAGGUGAUGGGAGAAAUAUUUAAUAUCUUUACUUUGGAUUAGACCGAGAUUCUUAUUUUCCGUAUUAGUUAUGGUAAUACUACAAUCAAUGCGCGAUCGGCAUAAUUACCGCUGCGUGCUCAUGUAGGUUGGUUUCCAUAUUGUUAACGUACAACGAACCGUUACCUUGUAAUUAAAGUAUGCCACGCUAAAUCAAAUAACAGAUCAGUAUGCUACCAUAUAUAAAGGGAUGGCUUAGGGAUCCUUGGGUAAACUCAUUUUUAGAGACUACUUUCUAUGAAGUUUUUUCUUCUAUAUUAUUACUCUACUAUUCUAACUUAACUAUCAAAGGAUUUUCAACCAAAAAUUUUUUGGUAGGUGGAUUUCUUGCAGGUUGGCCUCGAAGGCGACCAAAUCUUCCUCACUUCAGUCUCAUCUGACUUCAUUCAGCUCGGUUCUUACCGACCUCAAGGCGAGCUGAGCACCGUCCCGACCUCGGUUCAGAAUUUCGUAGCUCUAGAUUGGUGCUAAAAAAAAGCGUAUUAUAGUACCGACACUAAAAAAGGGGAAAAAUCAUCAAUAUGAGAUCACGAAGAAAUCGCGGAGCAUCCAUGCCUUAUAGCACCGAGCUUUGUCCUCACAAGAUUCACUGUAGAGUUCGAAACAUGCCCGCCAAUACAAUCCACUGCACCUAUGAACGUUGAGUAAUUUAAUCUGUUCGUACAACAGGUGCAGGCCUUAAAUGGGGCAGUUCAGGGCUAACAACAAAUAACAACAUAUCUGGAACCAAUCCAACUAGAACCUGUUCAGCCUAACCGCCGCUCCCCAUAACCAACGCGCCAUACACGCCAAGUUAGCCACCAUUCUUGACAUCAAAGUACAGAGCGAUCUCACCAAAGUCGACAUACUUGACUAAGGAGUUCUCGUCGGGAUGGAGAGUGACGUAUUCUAAGCCCCUAUUCCGACAAAAAUUCUACUUCAAGUCUCUAAUCUCCUCGUCAUAUGGAGCCCCUACCUCAGUGAGAAGCCGACCUCGAUAAAAAAAAAUUGAGGAGAUGAGCUGUCAAAUUCAGGCCCUUAAGGGGCAGACUUUAAGGUUAAAUAAUGAACUCAAAUUCUCUAAGAAACCUCUCUUUCUUAGAAGAUCGUGGAGCAAUCGAUCCCACCUUAGUUCAAAAUACCUCAGGUAGAGCCAUAUGAUGGCACCUCGGAUCGUUUGGAUCAUUUAGAGAGCUUCAGAACUCUCAUGAUGUUGUAUGGUGCUACUGAUACCGUGCUUUGCAAAUCUUUUUCUGCUACUCUUCGCAUAGCGGCUCGAUUUUGGUUUUCAAGGCUUCAGCUCGGAUUGAUUCAUUCUUUCGAGCAGCUCGGACAUCUUUUUACUAUGCACUUUAUCUCCAGUCGAAGUUAGUGUCAUGGUUCUGAUGCGUUGCUCAAUGUCAAGCAGAGGAAAAGAGGGUCCCUCAAAGAUUACGUCAAUUAUUUUAAUACGGUGACAUUGGAAGUCUGCGAUCUAGAUCAAUCGGUCGCGAUAUCAGCAAUGAUAGGCGAUUUAACACCGUCUCAUUUCCUCUUUUCUUUGGAAAAGUACUUUUCUGUAGACUUUGCCGAGAUAUUGGCACGUGCUGAAAAGUAUGCUAAUGUAGAGAAAGCCAUGGCCUCACAUUGUGAGUCGGCUAGUGGAAGACCCAACUGAGGAUGCAAAAGGAGACAUGAAGAUCGGGGUGCGUUGAGAAGUAUUUCACCCAUGACGAAAAGAGUCCACGCCGGCCCAAUCGUCCUCCUUGAAAGUUUGAGAGAUAUACUCCUCUCACUACACUAAGGACUCAGAUCCUCAUGGAGAUUGAAGGCUGAGGCUACCUACGGCCUCCGUAUCGAAUGAAGGCAUCGAUGAAUAAAAGAGAUAAGAAGUAUUGAUGUUUUCAUUGAGAUCACGGAUAUGAUACCGAGGAGUGUAUCCAACUCAAGGACGAAAUUGAAGCACUCAUCCGAUGUGGAUGGUUGGAUCGAUACGUGCAUACUCGGUGUGGUCGAAAAAAGUUUGCCUCGGAUCAGCCACCUUCAGAGCUGAUCGACAACCAUCCGACAGUAGGAGUUAUCAACACGAUUGCUGACGGUACUCUCGCGGUUGUCAGAAGGCUGAAGCUACUCCGAAGAGACAGCACACGAGAGAUGUUAUUUCUUUCUUUGACGCCGACCUGGGAGGAGUAUAGACUCCUCAUAAUGAUGCAGUUGUUAUUUCUCUUACAACCAAAAAAUAUGAUGUAAAGAGAAUUCUAGUUGGUAAUGGAAGUUCGACUGACGUGUUAUUUUAUGAUGUAUUCCAACGAAUGAAAGCAUCUACCGAGCGGUUGUGUAAAGUCAAUACACCUCUAGUCGGUUUCUUAGGCGAUUCUGUCUCCGUGGAAGGGGUGAUUAAUUUACUGGUUACCAUGGGACAAGUGCCUAGCAACAACAGUGCGAGGUUAAAUUUCUUGGUAGUUUGAAUCCCCUCAGCUUACAAUGCAAUCUUGGGCCGAUCUGGUCUCAAUGCUUUCCGAGUUGUGGUAUCUAUCUACCAUUUGCUCGUGUGAUUCCCUACAAGAAAUAGCAUAGGAGAAAUCCGAGGUGACUCAAUAUUAGCCUCGAAUACGGCCAUAUCUUUCUCUCAUCGGUCUCAUCCGACCUUAUUUAGCUCGGUUCUCACCAACCUCAAGGCGAGCCAAGCAUCAUCCCAGCCUUGGUUCAGAAUUUUGGGGCAACAAUAGAAAUAGAUAAAUAAAAUGAAAGUGUGCAAGACAAGAAUCAUAUGGCUUCCAAAAGGAGAGCUUGAGGAGCAAUAACGACCCAAGUGACCUCAUUCAAAAGAGGUCAAUUGCCGACCGCACCUACUAGGAUCGCCGCGUGCCAACCGAUGCGAGACACUACUCAUAAUAUGGUACUUGGCACUCAAGUGUUGGGUGAUGUUAAGAUCCAUAUGUAUCUCAAUGCCAAUUGGAUUGGUGUCUGUCAUUCGAGGAGCAAAUCCCAAUCCCUUCUCAAGGCAGAGUGGAUAUGUUGCACGUUUAUUUUUAUGGGCCCAUGUAGUUUGAAUUCGUCAUUCCUAAAAUCUUUCUCAACAUUUCAGUGCAUCGACCGGACGACUGGCAUAUAUUUCGUGGAAUCAAUAACCAACCAAAUCUCAAGAUAAUCAAUAUGAUCGAUUAUAGCUCGGUACAAUUUUAAUAUGCUCGAAAAGAAAUAUCGUAGCCGACCAUAUCAGCGAAUAAGAAAAGUGUCCAAUCUUUGAGCACCUGAAAAGAAAUAUUUUAACUACUCCAAUCAGCGGAUAAAAAAAAGCUCAAUUGUCAGUCCGCAAAUCACGCGAUCCUUACUGCAUAGAUCAAUAUCCUCUUCUAUAUAAACACCAGGCACGGGGAUCUCCCAAGUAUAAAAAUAUUUGGAUGUCAUUCUCUCAUUCUCCAAUCUCUCAUGUUUACUUUUGAAACGUUGCCUGAGUUAAGCAUUGGAGGGUUUCCGGCCAAACAAGUUUCGAUUACCUCCGGAUCAUUUUCUUUGGUUGCAAAUUAUAUCCGACAUGCUUCUCUAGCCCCAUCGAGUAGAGCAAUAUCGCCCAUCAGCUCAUCCACGUAUCAGAUCAGAUUUUGAGCGGCGAUAUGUACCAUUGGAAUUGUGCGGUUAUGAAGGCGUCGGGAUUUUGUGUCUACGAGUAACAGGGUUGGCUACUUCAUUUUUCUAUGGCAGUGAGGUUGUUAUCACAGGGCACUUCUUUUUAACCACAAUUUGUUGUGCUAGAAUGUCAUCCAUGAAUCCUUGCCGCUAGUUCAUGAACCCUGAAGUUGGUACCUUUUGCGGUGUAGCAUGGACAAUGAAAAAUGGGAAUUGAUUGAUGUCAUGUGAACUACAAAAAUUCUGGUAAUGAAUUUGGCAAUGACAACCUCGACCUCGCAUUGCUUUCAAAGAAGAGUAAAUAGGUCUUUACCAAAAGCGAAUAGCUUGAAAUUAAAGAAACGCAAUCUCAUCCCUUUUGAUGUCAGGAGAUACAAAUGAUCUCGAAUGGUUGCUGUUUUGCGUGGAAUCGAAGAGAAGUAAAGUUGGAUGAGACUGAAAUGAGUAAAAAUUGAUCGCUUUGCCGAGGCCAAUCUGCAAGAAGUCUACUUGCCAAAAAGUUCUUGGCGGAGGGCUCUUUGAUGUUUAAGAUAGAAUACUAGAGUAACAGUGUGGAAGAAAAAAAAAAUUUGUAUAGAAAGGAGUCUCAAAAUGACUUUACCUAAAGAUCUCCACCCUGCCUCUUUAUAUAAGGUAGAAUACAAAUUUGUUAUUUGAUUUGACGUGGCGUGCUUUAAUUGUAUGGUAAUGAUCGGUUGCACAUUAACGAUGUGGUAACCGUCCCGCGGGAGCAGCAUACGACGACAAUCACAUCGAUCAUGUAUUAGCUACAGUGUCGUCAUAACUGCUAAUCUUUUUUAGCUCGAGCAGAGUGGUACCUCAGUUUUCACCAAGAUUAUUUAUCUUGGUUGAGACCGAAGUAAAGAGGGUCGGUCGGUUCAAGCUGAGGUCAAGAUGUUCAAUAUUACUCACAUCAGUUGUAUUUCCAAACUAUAUUUGAAUUUGAAUUCUUAAGUUGUGCAUACUUAUUUAAAUUUUCUAGAGGUUACUCUUUUUGUCACUUAGGACUUAUUUGGUUUGUAGGAAGAAUUUUUCUUACUGAAAUAUUUUUCUUCAAAAACUAGUAUGUGAUAUAUGAUAUAUGGAAAAAUAAUUUUUGCACAUUUGGUUAAUCAUAAAAAAAUAGUACAAUUUCAAAAUGGCUUAUGUUUGAUUGAGCAUCUACUCUCUUAAUUGUAAAAAUUACCUACUAUGUCCUUAAGAGUAUUUUGGAAAGAAAACCAUCCCAAUUUUCAGCCCGUAGGAAUAUAAUUUUCAUAUAUUCCACAGUAUUUUUUUUCAUGNNNNNNNNNNNNNNNNNNNNNNNNNNNNNNNNNNNNNNNNNNNNNNNNNNNNNNNNNNNNNNNNNNNNNNNNNNNNNNNNNNNNNNNNNNNNGUGGACCAUACUUUUUCCUCUUAUCGUGAACCACACGAGUCCAGGACGUUGCCUUCGGCUUCGCAUCAGAUCCUUGGCUUCAAAGUAACAAAUAUCCUCGCCAACUAAAUCAGUUAUGCUUCAUAUCGCAUCUAGGAUAACACGAUACUAGGCUACAAUUUGCUCCUUCACCCGAAAGAUACGCCGUAUGGACCCACCAUCGGCGCGAGGCCGUUAGUGGGACCCAAUACAUUUAUCCGAGAUGGUGACGGCGUAUACCAUUUUCUGAUGGAGGUUUUUCCCAGAUCACUUCACUUUGUGGCUCGACGGAAGCGUGUUUACUUUUUGUCAUUUGGAUAUCAUCCUUAUCUCAUCUCUAGACUUUAUUUGCCGUCUAAAGAUGCACUACCCAUUCAGGACCGCACAGAAUCUUGGUAUUCCAAUGUGUGAUUCGGAGCUUUGGGGUUGCUCCUUUAGGAAGAUUUGAUAUCCCCCAGAUGCAGGAUAUAUCAGCGGAUUCAAUAGUGGUUGGAUCAAAAAUUCAUCAUAUUUAUUAAAUGACUUAAAAAAAUAAAUUUAAACUCUACUUGUUUAUUAAACGGAUAACUCCACCCGUUCCGCAUAAAUUUUUUAUUAUAUAUAUAGAGUUGGAUUAAAUGAGUUAAACAUACUAAGUUAUUUUUUAAUAGGUUAAACAAGUUACGCGAGUUGGGUUAAACCUCGGUCUAUUGUACCAUCAUGCAUCGUCCGUUACGAGGCGUAUCGUACCGUCCGGAAGAAAAUCAAUAUGAAACUUCACUUUAAGUUGGUAUACAUCCGGUACCAAUCCGUACCGAGGUAUAUUGAGGUAUGUAUUAGUCUGUACCGAAGCGUGCCGACUUGUAUCGAGACGUAUCGAAAUAAAAAAAUCGAAAAAAAUAGUUAAAGAGCUAUUUUCGUACCGAUAAAAUAUUGAUGUGGUAUUCAAUAUCAAAAUUAUAGGCCUUGAGUUAAAUAAUAAGUAGAUUUAGAUAUAUUAUUUAAAUGAAUUAAAUGGAUUGUAUCAUGAUCUAAACUAAUUAUUAAAAUAUUAAAAUAAAUUAAAUAGGUUUAAACCUAAAUCUGACCUAUUUAAUAAAUGGGUCCAAGAGGUUCGCCGGUUUAUGUCAUUUCGCUGUCCCGAGUCCAAUGGGGACUGACAGAUAUGGCGAUUGCAGCCUGAGGCCACCACGGGGUGUGACGUGGACUUCCAUCCAAUUAUCCAAAAGGAGCGGGGGAUGGAGAGCCCCUCGUCCGCUUGAAGGGCCAUUUUGAUUGGUGUGCCGGCUGUCCAUACCUCGAGCCAAAUCGAUGGAUUCCUCGAGCAGAUAUCAAUUAGGAUGGCGAUUUGAUUUGAUCGUAUCAAGUAUACCAUGAGAGCGAGAACAAGACAAAUGCCGACAGACCCAUCUAAGAAAAUUGAGCGGAUUCGGCUUCUACGUAAAUGAUGGCGGAUCACUGCAAGGAAAAAAGAGAGAGAGAGAGAAAAAAAAAAAAAGGUUAUAGAGACAAAAAAAGGAGAAUAAAAAAAAUCAAAAAGAAAGCUAAAAUGUUUUAUCCCAUCAUUCAAUUACCCUAAUUUAUAAGUGGGAUGACCUUAUAUAGGCCUUAAAUCAUGAAUUGACCAAAUCAAACAAUUAACAACUAACUAAAUUUGGGCCCUUAAUUGAUUACAUACUAAAUUAAACUUUACCAACAUUAAGCUAUUAAACCAAUUGAUCACACCCAAAAUCGGACCUUUAUAAUUAGGUCUUAUAUUGAUCAAUUGAUCCAAUCACUUGACUCAACAACCAAAUCAACUUCAAAAUAAUAGAAACACAACCAAAUUGACUCAAACAAAAACAACUAAUAAGGCAAUAAAAGAAACAUAACGCAAAUUCGAAUGGACCCGAUCUAGGCUUAACUCCAUUCUGUAGCUCAGGAUCCUCUCGUAGCGAUAAUGAUGUCAUCCUCUAGUGCAGGCGCGAGCGAGUGGCUCUCAUGGCUCGAUCGUCUAAACGAACAGCUCUGAUGUCUUUAUCAGUAAAAAGCUGAGAAAGACAGACCACCCAUUUUUAGAGAAUAUCAGAAGGUUAUUAAAAAUGUGUGGUGCCUUUCAGUUUCAGACUGCGCAUAUCAACAAAAAGACGAAUAAAGCUACUGAUUGGAUCGUCUCCUUUGCCGCCCACUAUUUUGAAGAUUUUUUCUAGAUUUGUCUUGUAUCUAUUUCUUCAUUUUUGAGUUGUAUCUUUUCUUUUAACUCUAAUAGCAAUACUCACGCAAGAUUAGUAUGGGCAACGUACAAAAAAAAAAAAACUUGGUGUCUUUCAAAUUGUGCAUAUCUACAAAAAAACAAACAUAGCUACAUAUUGGAUUUUGCCGCCCACUAGUUUGAAGAUUUUUUUUAAAUUCAUCUUGUAUCUUUUUUUUUUUUACUUUAAUGGCAAUACUCACAUGAAAUUAGUGUGAGCAACGUAACCAAAAAAAAAAAAAAAAAGUACCCCACCAAAAAUUUUGGUCUCAAUCCAUAUCAUGGCGGUGGCCGCCAAUGUAACGUAUAACCGGAACGUGUCUCCAGCUCCUCCAAUCUUGCUUCGGCGCGAGGCUAUUAGCCCAAUCCCAGCCCAGAUGCGGCUGGGCCGCAUGCGAUUGAGCCUCAUGGCUGGUCGCAAGAUGGGCAGUGCCCAAUCUAGGAUUUGAUGCAAACAUUUCAAUUCCUCUAUUCGAUUAUUUCUUUUGCUAAUUAAUGGGGAAGAUAAUCUCAUUCUCUUGCAUCUACGUCUUAAGAAGCUAUAAAGCAACCAAGAUUUUCUCCUCCAAGUGGCACAAUCUGAAUGGACGAACUUGUAUUACAACAUCCAUCAUUAUAGAUAAACAUGUCGCAAAUGUUUGGCAUGCAAUUAGCUUAUUAAAAUAUUAGUCUGCACUCUGACCAACCAAGAUUUUUUUUUUCUUAUGUGGGGUACGACUGUGGGAAGAUUGAAAUCUAGAGGAAGAAAAAAAAGAAAGCAACCUCCCGAAAUCUCAGCAGCCAUGUGUAACAUGUCCUCCACCAAAAUCCAAAUCUCCCUUCAACCUUCGUUGAACAAGCUUUAAGACACUAACUUUGUUGAGCUGCCAAGUAUCCUUAAGAAUGGGAUGCAGCCCAAUGCCUAAAUUAAUGGUCAGAUCUAAAACAAUGAGAUCUCAAAUUUCCAUGGUAGCAAAGACUUAAACCUAUUGGAUUGCAAUCUUGCACAUGCUUUCGGGCCAUGAAAAUUAUUCUGUAUUUCAAUUCUUCUUUGUCAUAUUGCAAUAAAAAUUAAGUUUUGGUGGCUAAUCAAAAAUUCUUAAAAUUUUGGGAUCUAAGUUUAACUAGUUCAAACUUGGGGAGGUGUUUCUAUAAUUUUCUUUUUUGACUUUUUUCAUAUUAUUUUGCUGCAAAAGGACCAAAAUUUCUAUCAAAUUGGGGAUUUUCUUGACAGUCGUCGUGGAUAAUCAUGCACAACAAAUGACUAGUGUUAGAAUUAUUAGGAUUUUUUAUUAUCUUUCAAAAUUAUUAGGAAUUGCUAAUGUGUGACAGAAAUAAAACAGAGGGAAUUAAAUAUAAUUAAACAAGUAGUGUAGCCAAUGAAGAUGCUAAUAUUUGAUAGAAUUAAAUAUAAUUAAACAGAGGGCAUGAUGUCGAACGGAUAAACCAAACUCAAAUUUGAAGCUGGAUCGGGAAAAAGUAUCUCAAUUGGUGCUAAUAUCUUAUUCAUUUAUAUAUAAAUUUCCUUGCGUUUAUCUACUUUUUGAUCUAUAAUUUCUUUAUAGUAGUAACUUGCAUGUCAAUGUACAUUAGAGAAAAAAUAAUAUAUAAGAUAAAGUUACAUCCGUACCUUUCUACAUAUCUAUUAAAUGUACAGAGAAAUCAAUCCUGCCUUCAGAAUUUGAGAAAAUCUACUACAAAAUUAGAGAAAAUUGACAAUAUCACAUCAUUAGAGGAGCCACAUUAAUCUAAAAUUCUGGAUCACGAGUUUAUCAUAACACUUAUAGAUUAACUUUUAAUAGGCAUCAAUUGAAAAUAAAAAUUUUAAUCGGCAUCAAUUCAAAGAAUACUUUUUCUUGACUGAUCUGGACUCUUCUAAAUUAAGAUCAGUUAAGAUCCUAAUCAACGUCAAAAAAUAGCCUACAUCUACAUCAGUAAAAAAAAUCCACCAAUUUGCUCAAAAAAAAAAAAAAAUCCGCACAGUAAAGGCUCUUCCUCUUAGGCAUCACUUGAAACAAACCAAAGAAUCUUAAUCAGCAUACCAAUUCAAAAAAAAAAAAAAGAUUAAUCGGGACUCUUCCUAAUAACUCAAUUAAAAAUCCUAAUUGUUAUCAUUUCCAAAAAAGGAAAAAUAAUUGAUAUUAAUCUAAAAAGCAAAAACCAGCUAUUAAGAUUUUCAAUACCCAUGUUAAGGACUCUUCUUCAUGCCGCAUUAGUUGAAACAAAUAAAAGUAUCAACCGGAAUCUUUUAAAUCUUUUUUCUUGACUUAUCUAAUCUCUCCAUAAUUAAUACCCAAAAAAAGACUGUUACCUAAAUCCUUAACAAACCCGCUAUUAUCAUGUGGACGCCUGCAUAAUAUCUCUACUCCCUAUUUUAAAUAGUAAUUUUGUUGCACUUGGUCAAUAGAUUUAAAUUUAAGAAUGCAAGACAACAACAAAUUAUAUUGAAGGACAAACUUGACCAAAUCUGGCUUUGAUUCCUAUUCGUUGGUCAGAUUACAAGGCCUUGGAUCAGCCGGAUUCAAAAUGGAUUAUUAGGUCAAUAGCCUCCAGUGCAACCGUCAUUUAUCUUAUCAAUGACUCUUCCUAGAAAUUAUCCUCGCCGAUCCAAUCAAUAAAUGAUCUUUUCUUGGACAUAUAUAAGUUAACAGAGCAACAGCUCAUUAGGUCAUUAGCCCUCAUUUGAACCGGUUAUUCUAUUCCACGGCUCUUUCUCAUGAGUUGCUAGGUGCUUCCUUCUGUGAAUUAUACUCGUCCAAUAAACAAAUGAAUGAACUACUCUCUAUUGUUAAACUAUUGCUAAAGAUUGAACCAAAACAAAGUCAUCACAUAAGAAAAGAAGAUAUACUUUGCAAUUCCUAGCUGUUUCAGCAUUCAUAACUUCAAGAAGCAAUCCAAGAAGUUCACAAUGAAGAAUAUUAUGGAUUAUAUAUAAUGAGUAAAAGUUAAGACUCAAGGGAUAUUUCAUUACUAAAAUUUAUGAUAAGCAACAGUUGACCUGACCUUGGAUGGCCUUGGUAGAGAGUAAAUCUAUAUUAGUGUUUCGGCUGUGCUCAUGAGAAGAUGAUGGUCAUAAACCGAAAUCUAUACUAUAACAUUAACAAGAAGAAUAUAGAUAUGAUGGUACAAGAAGAAUAGUAUAUUAUGAGAAUAAAAAAUAAAUAUACAAUUUAAGAGAAUAUUUAUGCAAGUUUAAAUUUUUAGUAGGAUAUUUAUGAAAAAAAAAACCCUAUAUAAUGCAACAUUAAACUUGGUCUUAUCACCCUACCUACGCUCACGCAAGAAUGGAUCAUCCAGCGCAGUCAACGUCAGCCUGAACCAACCCAAAAUAUAAGCUGAUAAAUAGGCAAUCUCCUAAAACAACAAGAACAGCAACCAGCCCUCCACGCCGACGUGUCCUACUUACACUCACAAGUUCGGUGGGCCCCACUUUAGUUUCGUCGAACAUUAUAUCACCAAGGACAAGGAGGCUGUUUGCUGCCGGCCAAGACUCAGCUGAGCUCUACCCUUCCAUACGCCCCCUGAAAUGGACCGAAUCACAAGCGACAGGCACCAGGAAAUUUCCCUGCAAUUACAGCUGGCCCGGCCCUGGUCCACGAGCGUGGGUCCCAUUGCUUCACGGGGGAGACCUAAAAGAAGCGUAGACGCGUGCAACGCCGGCUGGACCCCUUCCGGAAGCCCCACAGGACCCCACUUAGUUCAGAAGGGACAGGAACAUGUUUUCAUCAUUAAGCAAUCAAACGACCAAUGAUAUCCUUCCCUUGCGAGCUGUCUCUCCUCUGUCUCAUCGAUCUAGAAAAGACCCAUAAAGUUGGUGACUCGGUUCAUGGAAAAGGAGGAUGGUUGCGAAUUUCUUGAGAUUUUAUACGGAUAUCAUUUCACAUCGUGCAGAAAUUAGAAUAACUCCAAGAGGACCAAGACCUAGAUGGAGUCCACGUCUAGUGUAUAAAGCCUUCCAAGUUGCAAUCCUCUGGCCAAGAAAAAUAGACAUGGAAUCACGAAGGGCUCCCUUCUUCUUCCUGCUGCUCCUGGUUUCAAUCCAAUAUCUUCACCUCUCCGGGUUUGCAGAAGCCAGGCCACUGCCGCUGCCCUCGGGGAAACAAGAGAGUAAGAGCUUCUCUGAAAGUUACUGAAGAAUUUUACCUGUUUAUGCUGUGUCCGUCUAAUUAUGUGUAUUUGAAGGGAUGGGUAUGAAAGUCUAAUGAGUCUUUCAAUCAUGGCGUGGUUCAGGGCAUGUCAAGGUGCUGGAGUCGCUGGGCCUCCUCUGCCGGUGCUGCGACGGAGUGGGAGGGGAGUGCAGGAGCGCCUGGGAAUCCACCUGCACCAAACUCGACUGCCGUCCCUGGAAAUCUUUGUGAUUUUGGCAUCUCAAUUUUGGUUUUCUGGCCUUGUAAAUAACUUCUGAAGAGUUGGUACUUGAAGCAUCAAGCAAAGCCAUGCAAAUGCCUUCCAUAAUAGCUAGUCUCAAUAGGAUAUGGUGACCUCUGUGAAUUGCACUUGACUAGGAACUUUGGAAUGGUGCAAUUGUUGGGCAAAAUCAGCAUGAUCAUACACAAACAUUACAAAUUGACAUCACAGAAGUUAAUUAGAGCCAUGGGCUUGUUCAAAGAAAACAAAUAAUGAAGUAACGAGAGCAAAAUGUCAGAGGAGAGAAUGGUUACAUAUAAUAGAAGAGGAAGAUGUUGAUUACUUGUCCGGUUUUGACUCUGCUUUCAUUUGCCAAUGCUCUUGAGUAUGGUAAUCGAAAAUCUGCUUUCAUUUGCCAAUAUAUAAAAGAUGUUAAUUGCUUGUGUAGUUUAUACUUCAGGAUGGUAAUUGCUUGAUAUAUAUCAGUCCCCUGAGAUGCAUCAACGACAGGUCCAUUAUCUGCAUGAAUUGCUUCCCAUAAAAACAUCCUACCCUUUACCAGAUCACUAUCCACGGAGCCUGGUUCGCAGUACCUCUCCGAUAGACCAAAGAAGGAAAAGAAAGAAGAGAAAACUAUGUAUAUAUAAAAGAGUGAAGCCCAAGAGGCAAAUCAUCAAAUGGGAUCAUCUGACAAAUUGAAAACAUUACCUUGAUUUGCCAGCAGAAAACUUGUUUUGCGCAUUGCCUGCAUAUAUAAUAGGACACGUACUCUGUGGGAAAUGUUGUCAUCCAACAAGAAUGACAUUGUUAAGCAGAUGCAAAUGAUGAAUAAAGUCUAGUAGUAAAAUGCGAAUAUCAUGGUCCAUUAGUAAAAACACUGCAUUGGAUGACAAGGGAACAACAGAUCUCCAACAAAACUUUUUGAAUAGAUGCAUGCAAGUAGCACCAGCAGUAUGAUCUCAGUGAAGAGGGAAUAAAAAAUUAGACCAACUUCAUGGACAUUAAAAUAUGAGAAAAAACCCUUAUUAGUUACAUGUAAUGUUGAUGCAAACUCCCCUUCAUUUACCUGGUGGUGCACUGUGAGCAUCACCUCAAAAGCUCUCAUGUUCUGGCCAAAGUUCAGGGUCAAGCAUGCCAAUUAUGUUGUUGCUCUCUGCUUCAAUUUCAUGGUGUAGUGCUGUACAGACCUAGAAAAUGCCAUGAAUUUGUGGUGUGGAGCUUCAGCGUUUUGCUUGGAAACACAGAAACUAUUUCUUCCAUGCCAGCGAAAAUGUCAAAAUAUCACAUAUGUAGAUGAUAUUGUCACAGGGGUUCUACCCUAGGCUCUUACUGGCAAACUUUUCAUAUUCUUUGAGUUAGCUUGGCUGCAAAAUCACUGAAGCUUCUUUUAUGUGCUUCUCCAACUCAAUACAAUGUGCUCGGACUAUGAUCAAAUUUUUCUCGUAGGAUCUUUUAUGCAUACGGAUGUGCUCUUCUGGGCCUAGCGAACAAGUUGGUCAAAGAAUUCACAAUUCAGCUUUUGGGCACACUCUGAUUGAUGCUACGAGAGUGUGGAAAUCUAGCGAUCAAACAUGGCAAUGCAUUGAGUCUGGAUUUUCAAAUUUUAUGGACUGCUCCUUAAAACUACAUCUUAUUAAAGGUUUUCUUCUCAUAAACAUCUUAUUCUACGAUCUGUGUUAAAAGAAAGUUCUAACAUCCCAAAAGAAAUUUGCCCCCAUAUCCAACUGAAAGAUGCUAACAUAGUAUAUGGAAGGUGCCAUUACUUUGUUAGAAAGAGGCUACACUGUCAUGUAAUGUACUUUGAUAAAUCAAAUCAAUAACAUUCACGAGAACUAGUAUGAUAUUUAGAUCAAUUAGCUUAAGGGAUCAAAUGCAAAGCAUCAUUAGCUAGUUCACUGGGAACAUUCGGAUAUGGUAGUAGUUCUAUGAGUAUAAAAAAUUUCACAGAUUUAUUACCAAAAAAAUGAAGGAAUGACAUUACCUAGCAAAAACAUUUCUCCAUCAUCCAUGUAUUGCACCAACAUUUUUAACAGAAUCACAUGUGAUUUUUUUUUUCUUUAAUUGCUUUUUAUUUUUUUGAGAACUAGGAUGGGAGGAAGCCCAGCUGAAAAUCAGGUGAGGGUGGAACUCAAACCCACCAGUUAAUUUACCAACAGCACCAGCUGGCAAUGUUGCUUUAAUUUCUUUAUUAAUGCUCACCUAAAGAGGGUGUUAUCAGGAUAUUUGUACCAAUUGGUCAUUAGACACAAAAACAGUGCUCCAGCUUGACCAGUGGCCCAAAGAAUAAAAGCCCUACAACAGGCCAAUUACAGAAGGUACUGACAGACAGCUCAAAUUUGAUGCAAGACGUGUCCUUGUCCUUAAGAUUGCAUGUUGGUUUUAACAAAACUAUGCCAUUCCAAAACCAAUUCUGUUCAAAACCUACCAAGCAACCAUAUCAUUUCCAUUUCUUUGUGAUAUACAAAAUCUAGUUGGCUUAGAUUGGGAGCUUACCUGUCCCCAAGCACUUGCUCCAAUAGACUAUGGUGGAUAGACUCAGUUAAGUACUCAUCAUGCAGCUUCUCCCCCAAGUACACUAAUGUAAACCUGUCACAUCAAAUGAUUUCCAACCCAUCAAUCCAUCUCAAAGCUUAUUUGCUUUGUAGCAUCAAAUAAUAGCAAGUACCAACGACCUUCUGCAUACACAGUUCUUAUCAUAGAUUAAUGCUCACCUGUUUGUCUGCAUCGGCACAAAUGGAAAUUGGAAGGAGAGAUGGUGAGAAUGGUGGUGAGAUGAAGGAGCAAUAUCCAUGCAGUAAAUGAGAAAGCAAUUACAGCAUAAAUGAGAAAGCAAUCACAGCAAUCUUUCAAUUUGCUUAGGCAAAAGUGCAAAUAAGUUAUUAGAAGAUAAUAAGCUCUGUGUUAUUCAUUUGUUCUAUGAAACAGUCACUAUUUCAUACAUCCCACCUCUCUCUAGUGAUAUAUGGCACCAUGUAUCGAGAAUCACUUGGCACACUUAGGGCAUGUCUGGAAAAUCCAACAGGAUUGGGCUGAAUUUCUAUAGGAAUCGGGCUUGUUAGCCUGCUCAGUCCCUUUUUUUCUAAAGGGCCGUCCUAGUCUUGGCCUAAAUUCCAUCUAUAGGCCUGUUGGACAGCAUGUUGAGAAAAAAAAAACUAUGGAGGUCUUUUUUUUUAUCCCAUGGGAUUUGGGCUGGAGAGAGAUUGGGUUGAUAUGGACCUUACCUAAAUAGACUAUGUAAUCCAUGAUCCAACAAGAAAUCCAACCUAAUCUUGCUGGAUUUCCCAAGAAGACCCUUACUAUGUGAUAGAUACUGUCAUCCUUCAUAUUUGGAAUAUACCCAACGACUCAUGAAUACUUUACAAACAAACCAAGAUAUGACCUAUUCUGGUUAACUAGGUAGAUUUUAUUCCUUAUGGUGGUGGCAGGAGUGACAAAGAAUAGUAGGUCACUUUGAUGUCUCAUUACAUAUUCGACACAUGUCAUUCCAUUUGCUAUGACUUAUCAUUUCUCUAAAGGAGCAUUUGGAGGCUAAUCACAUCACUACGAGGAGGAUUCAUUCUAAUUUGGCACCGUUUGGAGCCUGCAUUACAUCAGGCACAUCCCUUUUACCUCCGAAAAUUAACGGUCCUGUUUGUAGUUUAGUAAUCCAGGGGCAUGAUAAAUGCAUCUUAGGGAAAAGAAAAUUCUAUUGAUAAAAACAUUUGUACAUCACUUUAUAUUUUAAAAGAUAGAAGAUAGGAAAAGCUGGGAGAGAAAGGACAGAUUAUUCAAAGAUAAAAAUGUCAGCUAAUAUUAAUACAUUUAUACAUCCAUUUACAAUUUUACAUUACAGGAAUCUUUAGAAAAUUUAUCUACAUAACGAGUAAAUGAAUUUUUAUUAUAAUUACCAAUAAUAUGAUGAAUAGGAAAUGAUAUUAAUUUUGUUGCAUAAAGUUCUGGUAGAGAAAGGUCAAAAGUAAGUACAUAAAGUUCUGCAAUCUCAACAACACCUCUCACAGGCAUUGGCUCUUCAGUUUUCAGAUACACUGUUUCCAUUUAUAUCCGAAGUUAAGACAAAACUCAUUGGAAAAGCAUAUGGCAGAUAGCAACCUUUGAAAAUGUACACAGAUAAGAAGUACAUGAUCAUCUGAUAUAUGCUGGGACUUCAGCGAGCUCUCCGAAUCCAUUGAAGGCAAGCAUGCCCAUAAAAUCUAGACCAUGUAAUUUUCACCUCUGGAUUCAUUGAUGGUGAUAUGCUAUCCAGCCAUAACAUAAUUAGUUUCUAACAUAAGUAGGAAACAAUACAUUCAGCACCAAGAUUUAGAUAAAUAAUAAAUAUGCAAUCAUCUGCUAUUAGAGACACUUAAAAGGCAACUUUACUGCCCAAGCAAAUUGGAUCUGCAAACAGGCGAAUGCACCCACUUAAAAAAUCAAGGAUAUGAACUUUUUUUGUUUUUAAGAAUGGUUAAUCAAUAGAGGAGUAAGAAAAAUACAUAAGGAAUAUGGACAAUAACGGCCGGGGGGGGGGGGGGGAGGGGGGGGGGUAGGUUGGGUUGUCNNNNNNNNNNNNNNNNNNNNAGGUUGGGGUUGUUCGAGCGGAAAUGGAUAGCAAAGGUUGAGAAGAGGGUUCCAUACCGUUGGGUGAGUUUCCAAAUCAUGUAUAAAAGUAGAAAUCGUUGCCUCUUUUAUCACAGGAAUAGCAGCUCCAGAAACACAGUGACUAACUAUACUUCCAUCCUAGACAUGGCGUGGAAUCAUUAGCGGAGCAAAGAUCCCCGUCAAUGCAGUCACACGGAGGAGACGGAGGCGAUCAGCAGCAGGCGCCGCCUCUGGGUGAGAGAUUUCAUCGAACGCCUUCCGGGCAGGAAUCUUGGUUCCCGGGGCCACCUCGAAUCUAAGCGGUCUUCUAUCUUCAUCGACCCGGGCGGCCCAGAUCUCCGAUGGGCCCCGAAUCCCAUAUUGCGGCUGGACGCGAGGGCCAAGCGCUUCUCUGAUGCUUUUCGAUGAAAAGAUAAAGCACCUGGAACCAGACCCGUGAAAAACUGGGUAGUUCUGCGAGCAUCCUACUACUACUCCUGCUCCCUGUCCUCGUCCCCUAUAAAAGUACAAGCAAAAUACCCUCGCGAUGCGGAAGAGGUAAAAAAAAUAAUAAAUAUAAUAAAUAUUUAUUAUUUCUUAGUCACAUGGCUUAUUGAUGAUACGGCAGGGAAUUUGUCUCAAUUUUUUCUUGAAAUUUUCAAUAAAAAUAAAAAAAGCCUAUAUAUCAAACUUGAUGCAAGUAUUAGUAAAACCAAAUUAGUAAUUCAUAUACUUCGUGAUCGAAAAAAGCUAGACAAUAUUUCAACAAUACGAUUACCUCAUAUAAUGGACUCUUAAGAUUUCGUUAGUAUUUUUUUUAGAAGUACGGCCCAGAUGCUACCAACGAACGGGUUGGAUUCCUGGUUCUUUUUAUUUUGAAAAAUAUUUUAUGGAAUUAUUUCUUUCAGAAUUCGGAUUAAAUGGGAAAAAAAUCUGACCUUACUCUUUAAAAUAUUUAUUUUAUUUUCAGAAUAAAUAAACUACUUUUCUGUAUUUGAUUUUCUAAAUGAGUAAAAAAAAAUGUUUAUUCCAUUUAGUUUUCAUCCAACACGCAGCCAAACACAGCCUUCAUACUAACAAUAUAUUUAGAAUAUAAAAGUAUAAUAUAAUAUGAGGCUCUUGAUAUGUACAAAAUCACAGGCGUUCAUCAAAUGCUCCAUUUUUUAAAAAAUAAAUCACGUACCUCGGAGUUCACUAACGUGUCAUGAUAUUUUUCCCCAAAUCUAUAAUAAGCACGCCAUAUCGGAGGCCACAAGGAACUGGGUUAAUUGUUUGUUAAAGUGAACCCACACAAAACUACAAGUCGCAGUACACUGUGCUGUGAAAAGAAUAAUGGUGAACGCCAAGUUCGACUUCCUGUGAAGUCCAUGUAACACGCUAUAUCUGUUUCAGACAAGGAUGCAGCAGAGAGCUGACAUUUUUGCGUGGAAAGAACAUACCCUGCAUCUCACUCUCAUCCAGUUGUGAAUGGCUAGGCCAGCUCAAUUUUGAAGUUCACAUCAGCUGUGCUAAUCUUCUGUGUGAGAUCUUAGGCAGACACUGCUCUCUCCAUUAUAAAUUUACGGACACGGACAAAGCUUGGACUUUGUACCAGGUAGAUGGCUGCCAUGCUUGGACUUGGUAUGAGGAUUGAGUCAUAACACAACUGUUAUGAAGCUUGAGGAUAUGGAGUAGAGGGGAUACGAGCUUACUUCCAAGUAUGGCCCUGAUUGGUCAUGAAAUAUGCUUGUGGCAUUAACAAUAAUAUCAUCUAACUCGAACAAUAAUAUCAUCCAACUUUUGAGCAAAUAAAUGAUGGAAUAAGUUCAAAUAGGACAGAAAGCCAUGCAUGUUUUUCUGAAAUGCAGGCAUUCUUAGAAUACAACAGUGUCUAGCAUGGCCCCCAAUGUCUGGACUAUAUUAGAUGACAUCAGGUUUGAGACAUGCUCUUCUAGACGCUUCUUCGCAUCUUGCCUUCCAACAUUUGCAAUUGCCAGCUUCUCUGGUGGCAGCUCAUCUUCCUCCCGAACCGCUUUGUUAUAUUUGAUGGCCAAAUUUAGCAUUUCCUGUUUUCAGGCCAAACAUCAUAAGCUAAAUUCAUCAGAGAAUUCGGCAAUUAAUUCACGGUUCACAACUAGCUGAUGGGAAUUGAAAAAUUUUACAGCAACGUGAAGCAAAUUUCUAUCAUGAUGAUAUCACAGCACAAUUGACAGGAGCGGUAAGAGAGCUGAAGAUCCAGGCAACGUUACCUGCACGGUCUGUUCAUUAGUUUUAGAAUGAGCGUCGAACUGCCGCAGUGUCAGGCCAUCAGUCCAUUUCUUUUUGUGCAGGUUCAGCAACAUCUUUUCUUCAAGCUCAUUUUUCCGAUAGUUUAUGGCUAUAGAGUAGUAAUGCCGAUUCAACCCAUGAAUGAGUGCCUGGUAAAUGAAAACCAUUUAGAAAGGGUUACUUUGCAUUAAGACAUUUAAAUGAAGGUUACACAACUUACUGCUUCAACAAGCAGUUUACCUGAAUAGAUGGCUUGUUGAGAUGCCCAACAUUAGAAGUAGUCUGGCGAGGCUCUUGGCCUAGCAUCAUGGUCUGAGGAUUGAUCAAGCGGAAAGCAUCAAUAACCACCUUCCCCUUAACACUCUGAAUUGGAUCUAUGACAACUGCUACUGCCCUUGGAUUCAAGGCUUCAAAACUCUGCAAGAGGCAUGAAAGCAGUUUAAUGCCCAGAGCCACAUGGUAAACUUAGUAUUAAUGAUAGAAUUAACCAUAUGAAUUGGCAGUAAGAUUUAAAAGGAGGUCUGGAGUGAAAGGGAAGGAGGCACGACAUUAGUCCCAGAACCAGUGAAACAAGAAAAAAGAAUCACUCUUCUUCCAAAGGUAGUGCAACAUCCUACCAAAACAUAGUAACCAAGCAUGUUAAGCCAUUGGAUGUGUGAUUUGGACAAAGAAGAGAAAAGACAAGUUCCCCCAUCCUUAUCCAAAACAAAAAAAAAGUUGAUUACCUGCUGCGUAUUUAUAUCAACACCAGAAAGCCAACAACCAAAGCCUGGAUGAGAAUGGUACCACCCCACAACCAUCUCGGGCCUGCACAAUUAGGACCAUAGUUAUCCACGAUUACUCAGAGGAAGUCUUAGCAUGUGGAAAUAACCAAAAUAAAGAACAGCGGUUCCAAUAAUGAAACAAAGCUAUCGUUCUGCAGGCCUAAUAAACAUCAANNNNNNNNNNNNNNNNNNNGAGUUGUUAAUGUAGGAAGUUAACAAAGCACAACUAUUGGACAAUGUAAUAACUAAAAAAAUAGAAAUAAUAAUAAAGUGAGAGGAAGGAGCGGCGGCGGCAGCGGUGGCGGGGGGGUGGGUUGGUUGUGGAGAGCUAGCUUCGUGGAAUGAUAUAUGGUGGCCAUUCCUAAGGAGUACACAUUUGACCAUCAUAGGUUCUACUCCAAUCCAAAGCAAAAGUUACUGCCUUCAUGGAACCGAUUAUCACACAAAGCAGUUAGAAUUAGUAAAUUGCAUGCUUGCAAUUUUAAUCCUUUUGGAGAUAAACCCACCAGCAUAGCUCCUUAUUAUCCCUUUUAAUAUCUCCACUGGAUUCCCUAAAUAGCAAAUGCUAACAGCCAGAUAUUGGAUUUAACUUAACGACCUAAAUUCCAGUGCCAGCUAAUGGCCUAAAAGGAUGGUCCAUCAACCUACCAGACAUUGGCCAAAGAUGCUUUCUGCCUGGGCUCUCUUUGAGGUGUCAAUACCUUCUCCUGAAAUCUAUUUCUAGGAUUUCAUUAUAGGUACAGACUGGCUUGGCUGUUAUCAAAAAAAUGACAGGUAUAACCUCCAGAAGGUGGCAAGACAGAAUGAACAGAAGAAUGCCACAAUUUAGGAGAUGAAGAAGAACUUAUCACACCAAGAACAUGAACUGUUAAUGCAAAACAGAUAAACUACCUCACAUCGGCAGAUCCAAGGUAAUUUUCCUGCAAAUAAGAAAAAUAUACAGCGAUGGAAGUUUCAAAUACCACUUCACAUCCCAGGUAACACUUAAGUCAUCGAGUCUCUCUCUCUCUCUCUCUCUCUCUUCAACAGCUAAUACUUGAAUCACUUCACAUCCUAGGUGCAUGCAUGCACAUGCACACACAUAUGCAUUCUACUGAAGUCUAGUAGAUGCAGUCACCUAAUAGAACAAUACAGCAAGACAAAGAACACAACAAUGCAACCAGAGAAAUGGGGAUCUCAUAUUCCAUUCACCAUAAGAUUUGAAACAUACUUCUUCUUUGUUCCAAGAGGCCAAAGUAGUUGGCACAAAGCUUCUUAACACUACAUCCCUCCAAAAGUCUAUCCUCCCCCAUCCUGACACCAAUUAUGGAACAUUUAGCAUGAUGAAUAAACCGACCAUUAACUCGUCGCGAACAGCCAGAAAGGAAUUAAAGCUAACCAAUAUUUGCAACUCAUGCUCACAUAACAUCGGUAAGUAAUCCACAUACUGCAAUCAGGAUUAUAGCAGACCUUAGAUAGCACACGUCUGAUACAAUACCUUAUAAUAAUCAUAAAUAAUAAAAGAAACUGUCGAAUAAUAAUGCCAGACACUUGAGAUGAACCCGCAACCAAAAUAAGAGAGAAAGAUGAGGACCUUCCGGUCUGCUUGAGCAUAUCGAGCAUGUUGGUCUGGAAGACGUGGUCGACGGCCUCGACGCUGACGCCGGUCCCGCUCUGCGGCAUGGCGAAUACGUCUACCACCCGCACCGUGUACUCGUCCACGAACUCCCCCAGCAUCAGCCCCAUCACCUCCAUCGGCACCCCAGCCCUCCCUAUUUUGAUUUCAUUUCAUUACAUUUCAAUCAAUUAUUCUGAUAUACAUAUUCGUAAGAAGGAAGAGAACCCUAAUUUAAAGGAAAAUAGUACUCGGAAGAAGAAAACCCACCACCCUAGAUGAUCUGGUGAUGGAUGGAUGGACGGAUGGAAAAUGAAUUAAUUACCGUGCUUGAGCAUCUUGAGGAGGGCGAGGGAGGAGAUGUAGACCUGCUCCGACGAGUCCACCAGCGGGGAGUCCGUCGGCGGGUGCCCCAUCCCUCCCGCCCCUGAGAAGAUCCGAUGCAGCCUCUCCAUCCCGCCCUUCCUCUCCCUUGCGUUCCUCUCCUCUCCUCUCCGCUUUGGGUUUCUCUCGCCAAGCAAGAAACUCCGCCUUCCAGCCCCGAGCACCAAGCCUUCUUCUCGUCCCGGUCCAACCUGUACCAGUCUUAAAGGUUGGGCCCGCGCCUCUUAUAGCACGGUCAAAAUAUUUUUAGCAAAUUAAUAUAAAAGAAUAAUAGAGAACUAACUAGAAAAAAAGAGAUAUUUGAUUUCAUCGACGGAAACGAAGCCUCCAAAAGUUUUUUUUUUUUUACUGGUUUUAUUAAAUCGAUCACAUUGACCGCUUGCCUCCGUAGCCAACAGGAGAAAGAUGUCUUGACCAUAAAGAAAAGGCAUAAUCCUAAUUAUAAUAAAAAAUGUAAAUAAAAGUAAGUUAUAAAAAAUAAAUAAAAGUCGAUUGUGAUUUUCUUUUCCAGACUACGAUUCGCUUCAAAAUGGCACAAUCUAGUUUAUGUGGACAAAUAGAGAUAGCAAUAGAUGUGUUCCAUGAUAAAGAUUUGAUCUCUCUUACACCUGAUCAUUCUUCUUUCAGACAUAUACAAAGUAUACAAAUUUAGCAUUUUCCCCUUGUUUCGACCUUCUCCAACAUGUCCAGCAUGAUACAUUUAACAUGAUGAGUUAUGAUUGAUUUCAUCACACACCACAACACAGAAGUAAAUAGCAUCUUUUGUUUCUGUCCAUCCUUCAUAACAAGUUGAACAAUAUGAUGCAGCUUGAUCAAAAGCUGAAGUCCAGAUCCAAGGCACCAUGUUCCAAAAUGUAAAAGCAACGCAACCAAAACAACUAGCCAAUCUUGAGACAGUCGUCCAUCUAUAAGUGUUUGUUACACGAAACUAUAAUUUCAUUUCUCAAAAGAACGCAUAAUCCACUUCAUAAUGACUCUGUAUACAUACAUGAGCACAUUGACUAACAGUGCAAACAAGAGACGAGCCCCAAGAUAGCAGACCCAUAGAGAUCUCUCAGGUGUGGAGAUAAUUAGCUGCCAUCAUCAACUCCAAAGUUAUUUCAGGUUCAAUAUGAAACUCUGUCUCCAUUCCACUGCCAACAACAUAGACAAAAAAGAGGUUAAGGAAUAAUUUUAACAGAAAUAGUAAGAAAGCACAGAAGGCUUUAAAAUUAGUCGCUUUUUAAGCUGAGAAGAAGCGUGUGAGGCAAAGCAUAAAGAUCAAGGACAUUGCUCGUUUGUCAUACCAGUUUAAAAAGUGAAGUUCAUUGAAUUCUUAUUCAGUUUAAACCUUUACAGUAACACAAACAAUCAAGAAUUCUGGCACAAACAGACCCGAAAUCAUACAUACAGUACACCACUUAUGUGGUAAAUUUGGAAAACCAACACAUCCAUUGAUAAGAGAGGAAAUUAUCUCUGUGAUGAACACAUAAUCUAGCUAGAUGUCCACUUUAGUCAAUAAAUAAAGUCACAAGCUCUUAUUCACAAUUCCGUCUGUCCUUUCACCGUCCAACUUCAUUUAUCCUUUCCUAUUUCUAACAAGAUUUUCAACAUGCAUGACCGGCUUGAAUGGAUAGAAAAACAAGUGCAUAAAUCAGGCAUGAGCAUUAUUUGCCAGAGCAUAUUAAAAAAUCACUCUCUUGCAAUAUAAACAAGAUGCUGCACAAUCUGACAAACACAGAAACUACAGCAGAUUUAAGUGCAUUGUAUACAUGAAUAAAGCAUUUGCUCAUCUCGCACUACUAUUUGCAGAUUCGAGUUUUAUUAGAGUAAUAAUGAACUAAGAUUUUUCUGAAGCCUCUUGUGAGGUGAAAAGUUAAGAGGAUAUAAGUUGUGAGUUCCUCCAAGCACUGAGAAAUUCAAAUAGUUCAAUUUUUUAAUUAUAUCUGGGUGCAGGGCACGCGAAGGGGGUGGUGGGAAUCCUUUCACAUGGUCAGUUUCUUUUUUUUAAGCAUUGCCCUUUACACCCUAAUAUGUAGGUGAAAACCAUCUAAACAAACCAUACGUCACACAAAGACAUAGUGCCCAAGCCCUAUAGGAGCCACAGCAUUGGGUGUGGCAUAUCUGGCACAGGUAUACGUGGCUUAUGUGUGUACAAAGCGCUCCUUAUAAUCCACUCGAGGGUUGCUAGCUACAAGCACCAAAACUACAUCAUAAACAUACAUACUUUUAAAUAUAUAAAACUGCAAAGUCCAGUGAUCUAGACAUGGUCCCACAAUGUGGAAAUUCCCCACUUUGGAUUGCAAACAUUGAUUAACCCACCAGUCUUUCUCUACCUCAAAGGCAUGAAUAAGUGUAAGAGGUGGAGAAUAACAUAACUGACGACAAAAGUAUGUUGCAUUCAAAUUGUAACAAUAAAGUCUAGUCUAUAAACAUAUCAGAAACAAGAAUAUACAUGAAAGGAAGGCUUUGUUAGCUUUUGUUUUUGGUGUUUCAUCUUCAAAAGCAUUGUGUAUUGAAUGGCUGUAUGGGCCUUGCAGGAAGAGAUUUCGACCUAGCUUACACUAAAACUAAUUUAAGAGCCAUUAAUCUUGGCAAUAAUACAACACUAUCAAUUUGAACUCAUCCAAAACCAAAAUAUAAUAUUAAUGAGUCAAACUUCUUAUAAUAACCGGGCAUUAACUAGCACGAAAUUCAAUCUGAACCAACACAUCAAGUGUGGCAUCAAAUUAUUAACACAAAAGUAAUAUCUCAUCAUAUAAUAAGCCUUGAUGAUUAUCUUCUCAGGUAGAAGAAAUACAAGAUACCAUCAUUCGUCGAUGAAGUGAAGACUCGUAUUGUUACAAUUUUUACUUUUUUUCUAAAUAGCAUUCAAGCUUUUCUCAAUCAUUUCUUCAAGAUCCUUCCUUGCCUUAAAAACUUUGAUCAAAAGUCAUAUAUUAUACUUUUUAUAGAUUAUAUAGCUUCCUUAAUUAAACAUCAUGAUUCAUGUAUAACUUUUGCAAAUACCUGAUGCAGUCAUACCAGUGCUAGGGAACUGAACCCCAUCAAACAGUUUCUUACAUAUUUCUUUAUUGAUAAGAUCUACCCCUCAAAAAUAUUUACAGAACACAUAAGAUGGAAUGCCUAACUACAUUGAUGUGAGCUAGCAUCACUUGAAAUCCAUACUAGGCAAAUCCUAUAGCUCUGAAGUCCUUAAGAAACUGAAGUGAAGCUAGUAGGCUCUUGAUAUAUAACAUGUGUGAGCCUGAAUUCUAAAAUGUUUUGAAAAAUAAUAGAUGCAUAACACCUCAAUCUUCAAAUAUUCUCUCAUUGUUCGAGAUAAAUAAUAGAGGACAGAACAAUAACCUGGAUACAUUAGCAAUCAACAAGGUAGUCAUGUGAGAUGGUGGUCUUAGGAUGUUAUCCAUCAGUUCUGAACAGUAUUUGACAACAUCAAGAUGCUAACCCUCUUUAGAUCAGUUGCUGAAGCAGAUAGUUGUCUCCUUUCCUCUUUUGGAAUGCAAUGCUGGACAAAUUGAUUAACCCUGUUCCUGAUGCCAUUCAGCAUGAGGGGAUUUUCUUUGUUAGCUUCAAGCUAACAAAAUCCUUAAGUUCAACGGGAAAGAUUCUGUCUUAUAUUUGAUAAAUCACAUCCUCACCCUAAUUAAGAGAAUGCUGCUUAGUAGUCAGAACAACCGUAGAUUCAACAAAUAAUUUAAAUUAGUCUAUUUGUGAUCUCUUCUGUCACUGGUUGUAGUUCAUUAUUUGUACAUGUCCUUAGUUUGAAUGGGAAAUCAAGGUUGACAAGAUGGAUAUUAACUAAUCCAUUGCAGAUGCUUUAUUGCCAAAUGCCCAAACCUCGCAAGCUACUACGUUGGAAACUGAUAGCUUCUCUAUAGUAGGAUCCACAUGCAAUAUAUUCACAAAACUUAAAAUGAACGCAAAUGACUGAAUGAUGUUCUUACAAAGCACAUCUUGUCUUGGGUAAAGGUUUUCUACUUAUUAGACUUGUCUGACAAUCCUCCUGCAUCUACCCUUCUUUUUCAUUAUAAAGGGUUUUUCUUUUGGGAGGGCCAAUAUAAAGGCAUAUGCACAAAAACUGAGAAAUACAACAUGGAUUCCGAAAUUAGAGACUCCAGAACGUACUGGAAUUGGUUAUUCAUACAAUACCCGACUUGUCAUCAACACAAUCGCCUUCCCGGCUUACCGGAAAGAAAGCCCAUGCCUUGUCAAACAAACCAUGGCAUACAAUUUUAACAGUUUAGAAUCAAGCACUGAAAGUUUCUACAAGCAGCAUACUAACAGCAUGAGAACAACAACCUAUCCAUAUAACUACUGGAUUAGGAAACUGGAAAAUGCACAUUACAUGUAGGUAAUUCUUCAAGUUACUUAUCAUCAAAAAAAAAAAAAUCAACUUUAUUGUAAAUUUUAGCUCAUUGUUUCUUGAGGAGUAGAUGCUACAAAAGUUCUGGUGGUUCUCAGCAAAAAUUAGAUGCGAAACUGAUCAUACAAGGAUUGCCACUAAGAAUCCAAAACCAAUUCUCUAUCCAGCUGUCCCUGCACUAAGGAUAAUCUCUAAAAUUGCUAACAUGUAUGCCCCGAUAAGACAGAUUGCAACAACUGAUAAGCACAGACACAUUUGGCCCUCCUUGAUUCAAAUAUUUUGGAAUCGGACUGGUACGUCUAGUGUGAUGACCUUAAAGAUCCACCAGAAAAGGAACGAAUCACAACUUGGUAAG